Molecule: long non-coding RNA, 61252 nt
Filed under: Ananas comosus (pineapple)
Lineage: Eukaryota; Viridiplantae; Streptophyta; Magnoliopsida; Poales; Bromeliaceae
Description: long non-coding RNA (ACOM_LNC023054)
Rfam family: U2 spliceosomal RNA (bases 60289-60486)
Source: RNAcentral
UAUGUACAGUAUGCCUUCAGUAAUGUAUUUUUUUUUUUUUUGAGAAAAAGGUAGCAAGCUACCUGCUUCAAUUCAUUCAUAAAAUAAAAUGAACUAAGCAUAUAGGUGGAAGCAGCUAGGGCCUCCUAAAAAAACCGAAAAGAAAUCAACGAAAACAUAAACAAAAAGCCCAAAAAAAAAUAUGUAAAAGGAAACAAAAGCAUGAAAUUAGAGCAGGAGUCGUCGAGAAUCACGUAACAUCAGUCCAAUCCUUCAACAAAGACUCAACGCGAACCGCGGUCCGGCUUGCGUUGGGAGGCAUAUCACGAAAGAUAGUAUUAUUGCGUUCGGUCCAAACAACCCACCAGAUCGCCUUCAUUAAUGUAUUAGUUUUACUUUUCUAGCUCUAAUAUCUAUAGUUGUAGUAGAUUUUAUAUAUUUUGCAGGUUUAGAUGCUUCACAUGUAUGGGGAUCCCCGUGUACGCAGCGGAUCUAUUGGCGAGUCUGGAUUCAGCUGCAACUCGGGACGUGACAGAUUAAGAUCAGAUCUAGGAACAGUUUGUUGGGACUUAGAGAACUCUAGAUUUUUUGCAAACCCCUAGGAAGACAAGACGUGAGAGAUGCGACUUGCUGCGAAAGUCGGCGAUUGAUUUAUUUGUCAAUUCUUUCGGGAGAGCGAAGAGUGAUCGAAGGAAAUGUAUCUUUUCCUGCCAGAUGAUUAUAUCGGCUGCAGCCGACAUAGUAUCGCAGGGAAAAAGGAAUGUCCUUCUAGACUUUCGCAUGAUUAGAUUGAGUGUUGUAUUCAAGUAUGUAACUGACGUAUAUUCUGUUGCAGGUAAUUAGAAUGCCUCCUAGAUGUUGACCACCGGCGUAGGCAAUACCUGCACCACCCGCGAAGCCGGAGCAGGAAGGGCCGAGUGAGUUGUAGAACUAGCAGGGAUAGUUGGCUAUUUUGGCCGAGGCUACCCAAUAGUAGGGAGUGCUUUUAUAGAGUAUGUGCAAAUUGGUUCAUUACGUUCUCUGUGCAAGCAAUGAGAUACCAGAGAGUCACAUACAGUGGAGACUCGGGUUGGCGUCAAUGGCGCCGAGAUUUGAGUCUCGGUCCAUGCUGCAAUCCGAAUCAUGGUCAAUGCGAUCAGAAAUUAUUUGACCCUUAGCAAUCUUUAUAAGCCAUGCGAUCAGAACGCGCGUCUUGGAUCCAAUAGUAUAGGGUCACGUCCAUGCGAGUGGAAGAUGAACAAUAUUUUAUUUUAUUUUAUUUUAUUUUAUAGAGUAAGCUAUUAUAUAUACUCUUACGAGUAUAGAGCCCUUUGUACUCAUAAGUUAUUUUCGGUGAUGGGGCUUUCGAAUCGAUGAUCCACUCUGUUAAAUAUGAUUUAGAGUAUUUAAAAUUUUUAAAAAUUAAAUUUCGUAAUUUUUUCGAAAUCAUAGUAAAGUCUGUAAAAUAUGCAUAAAAUGAACGGUCAAAAUCGAAUGAUAUCCUAAAAAUAGAUGAUCGAAUCCACAGAUCAGAAUUGUUAAUCUUUAUUUAGGCAGUGAAUAGAAUUUUCUAUAAAAAAUUCAACAUAUUCCAAUUCUUUUACACCGUUAAACUAGCAAUUAUCUCAUACCGGCCGUUAAAAAUUGUCAAUUUUGUGACAUUUUGCUCGUGAGGUAAAUAAUAUUAAAAAAUAAUGAAAUUUGAUUUCUAGAAAUUUUAAAUACUCUAGAUAAUGUUUAACGGUAUGGAUCGUCGAUUCGGAAGCUCUAUUAUCGAAAACGACUUAUGAGUACAUGGAUGAUCGUACUCAUAAAAGUAUAGUAGUCGGACUCUAUUUUAUAUAAUUAAAAUUCGACCCAGUGUAAAGGGUGCACACAGUAAGAAGUUAAUAAUUAACAUUAAAAUUUGGCUCUAAUACUAAUUGAUAGAUCUUUAUAGCUAUGUAAAAUAAUAAUAAAAUAAAUACAUACCAAAAUACAGAAUCACAAAUAAAUAAAGUAAUUUACAGAGUGCCAUAGAAAAGAAAUUCUUAAUUAAUCUGCGGAAGCAAAAAGUCCGGUACCAAUAUGAAUAUUACCAACGGAAUUCGACUAACUUGGCUUCUUCUUCUAUCUCAGUCACUCUCUCGCAUGGUAUGGAACAGAUGGUAAUUCUUCAUUGAAAUUUAUAUGAGAAGGUGGCAUGACCAAUAUACUUUUAUAUAGAGUUCAAAUCGACUUAUCAUCAAAAUUUGAUUAGGAUUCUAUUUAAUUUAAAUAGAUAAAAAAAUGGAUAACAUAUAUCAUAUUAAGUAGUUCUCUGUUAGAAUUGAUCUUUAUUUAUAGUAAAUUUAGAUCUGAAUAUAAUUAAUUGAGACAUAUUUAUGAAAGUCCUAACUCCUGAUCUUAUAUACCUUUUGGAAAAUAAUUUGAGAGGUACUAAGUACACUCGUAACCUCAUAGCGUGGUUCUUAUAUAUUUUGUCGAACCUUUUGUUUUUUUUGGUUAAUGGAACUUCACAAAUUUUAAUUUGCAGAUCCAAAAGUAUUGUGCCACCUGAACUCAUAAUGGGCCUCAAAACUUAUUAGGCGCAAAUCUAUUUCGGGCCUAUUUCAGCAUUCCAAACUUUGAUCGUGUUAUGUGUGAAUGUGGUCCGCAUGCCCGUGCCCAGCCUUUAUGCUUAUAACUUUCUAACUAUCAUCAAUUUUGAUGAACGGAUAGGAUAAAAGAGAGAAAAAUAUUGAAAAGAAAUUGAAUGCCUCAAUUUCUUCUUUUUGAAUUUCUUUCUAGUUUCUCUUAUCUUUCUCUCUCAUCCUAACCACCGAUCAAAAUUGAUGGAUGAUUAGAAAGUUAGGAGCAUAAGAUCUGCUGUGUUCCUAAUUACACGGUAGUCCUACUCUCCAUAUAUACAGAAUUGGAUUGGAAUGCUAUUAAUAAUAUUUCGGCUCUUUUGCUAUCAAGUUUUUAGCCCUUGGAUGAAAAAUUAUAAGGUUAGAAUAAUAAUGGUCCCCUCGAAUUUAGUGGUGGUUCCUCCAGGAUUGAGUAGGUGGUUGGUUGAAUAGUAUUAUCGAAAGGAUGAAAUUGAUUAAAGUGUAAAUUUAAUAGUUAAAACAGUAAUAGUAAAUGAGUCCAAAUAAGUAUUCUAGCUCAACUCUUUUAAUAUCUAUAUAUAUAUCUCUCUCUCUCUAUAUAUAUAUAGAGAGAGAGAGAGAGAGAGAGAGAGAGAGAUGAGGUCGAGAUGGUGGCAAGUCGGGUGAUAAAUGUACACUAAUAUAUUAGAAAAAAAGAUUUAUUUUUACUUCUCAAAAUAUUCGUGAGAAAAAAAAUUUGUUUUCCAAAAAAAAUUUGGAAAAUGAAAAGAAACUAUUUUUUGUAAAAUAUGAAAAAUAAUUUUUAAACAAAAUUUUUUUUUUCUGCGAAUCAAACACACGAAAUUUUUUUUCAGUCUUAAAUAAAUUUUCUAGGAUAUUUUUCAAGAAACCAAACAUACCCUAAACAAGUGUGGCUGAGUAUUUACAACCCAAACACUAAAAAAUAUAAAAUUUUAUUCAUCAAUUUUUCUUUUCAUAGCUUUAUAUGGAACCAAACAGCUCAUAAAUGACGAAUCAUUUGUGUGAUGACGAGAGAGACGCAAGCUCCCCGCCCGUUAAGUUUGUACGAUGGCUAGAGUAAGGAUGUCAGAGGGUACGGAUACCCGAAAUUUUAUCGAAAUCCGAAUCCGAAUAGAGCAGAUUUAUUGAAUGCUACACGGAUAUGGUUUCGGACAUGGAUAUCAAGAACAAAUAAUAGACGGAUAUGAAUUCGAAUAUAGAUUUUGGCUAUACCCAACCCGAACCCGAAUUUAUUUUACAUUUUAUAUAUAUAUAUAUAUAUAUAUAUAUAUAUAAUUUGAUGUUAUACUUUGUAUUUGUAUUUAAAAAAUUUAGAUUUAAUAUAAUAUAUUUUGAAAUACUGAAAAGAGAAAUAAUUGUUUCGGUUUGGAUUCGGUGCUCAAAUUUUUGGUUGGAUUUGAGUUUGAAUAUGAAUUUUUAAAAUCUGUCGGAUUCAAAUUCGGAUUGAAGUUUCAAGUUUGGAGUUAGGUUCAAAUUUGAAUUUUUGAAAAUUCUUCCUAAAUCUGAUCCGGCGACAUCAAUAGACGAGAUGGACGCAAGCUCUCCAUUAAGCGACGCAAUAUCACUGGACAUUCAAAUAGAUUCUUUGGUUUUAUAUUACUUAUAAUAUAAUACAGUUUGAAAUAUGCACUGUCGAAAAUAUAACCGUUUUAACGGACAAACAUUUUAUUUGAUUGAAUAUAAUAAAAUAAUAGUACUAUAACUAUAGAUAUUUAUAUUUAACUGUAUAUAAUUGAGAAGAGUAUUUAUAACAUUUUAUCACUUUAUAUAUAGGACGGUGAGAUUAUUCUCCCUAUAAAAUAAUAGAUAUUUUCUAUUUAAAAAGGAUGAUUAGGAUGUAAACUUAUUUUUAUUUAAAGUUAUUUUUUCCAACUAUUGCAGUAGAAACUUCUACCAAUUUAGGUGUAGUUUCAACCACGGUAGUUAAGCAUUCAUGUAUAGCAUUAAUUACAGCAAUUGGAUUCAAAUGUCAAAUGUAUCAACGCAAAUACUAGAUUUGAAUAUAUAUGCAUUUUACAACUUGAAGUAUCAUUGUAACUAUACUAUUUAUAAACUGACCGUUUUUAACGCAAGUGGCAAAAGGUUUGGUAAUUGAUACCCGAAGUCCCCAAUUCGAAUGCACCCCAAUACAAUGUGCCCUCCUAAACAAAAUUUUCAUUUUUGUUUUUUUUUUUUUGAGGGCCCUGAAAUUUUGUUUUACUCCAAAAAAUUGUGCGGUUUUAGCAAAUAUAUAAUGUAUUAUGAAACUGUGUUCCUACGUUUGUUUGGAUACGUUAUAUUCAUUAUCGUGAAAUAUAAUGCCAAAUGUGUUUUUAUGAUAUCAUCCGUUCGAUUAUAUUAUGCAUUAUUUUAUAUUUAUUUUAAAUCUUAAUUAAUCUUUUUAGUAUUUUUUAAUAAUAUUAUCAAGUUCUUAUUAUUCUGAACUACAGAAUUUUAUCUAAUGGGUGACAAUGAAGCACUUGUCACUUUUUGUCACAGGAUUAUCCUUAUUUUGUUUAAUUUCUCUUCACCAGUUCGAUUCUUUAAAUCACAUGUGAAAAAUCCCUCUCCUUUGGCAUUAUUGUAAUAAUAUUCAUCACAUCUUGGAUCGUUACCGAUUGAGACAUGUAUAAUCAUAAGGUCCUUGUGUCUUCAUCGAAUAAUGCGUUCUAUCAAUAUCAGUCAAUAUACGUCACUGAUACAACCAUUUGUUAAAUAUAAAAAUAUUUAAAUAUCGCUUUUUAUCAUCUUAAAUUUUUAGAGUAUAACGAUUAUUUGUAUUAUUUCGAGUCGUAUCGGGCAGCUACCAUUAUUUUUUUUUUUAUUUAAUUUUCUAUUCGUUUAAGCUUUUAAAGUACAACGGUUGUUUGUAUUACUUCAAAUGGCAUCAGAGAAAUAGGUUUCGAGAUCGAGUCAUACCAGGCUCGUAACAUUAUUAAUUUUCUUUUAUUUAAUUUUCUAUCAGUUUAAGAAAAAUUUGAUUUGUCUUGACCACAUAUGUCAUUUUCAUUACCAAUUUACUACUGCGAUGUGAAUGCUCGUAAAUACAGAUAGAUCCAUAAGAAACCAAAAGUAUGUAUCGAAUAAUAGAGGUCUGGGUCCGACCUUCCCAAAAAACUUCCAAAAAUAUAUUAUAACACGUGAAGCUGAGGACAAGAGUUUAUAUAUAUAUAAAUAAUAAAUUAAUUAUAUACUAUAUAUAUAUUAGUAUAUAUACCUUUGAUCUAAACUGAAAUACUAAUCAUACACCAAGCUAUUGGUGCUGUUAGGUUUUCGGUAUUUGGAUGAAAAAUAUACGAUUAGGAUGAUAUGGGUCCUCUAGAGUUGAGGGAGUUAUUUGUUUAAUAGUAUAAUCUAAUGGGUGAAAAUAGUCAAAGGGUUAAAUCUAACGGCGAAAAAUUUGAUAGUAUCAAAUGCUUGGCGCUAUCGAUAGUAUCCCAACUGUACUCUAUAUAUAUAUAUAUAUAUAUAUAUAUAUAUAUAUAUAUAUAUAUAUAUAUAUAUAUAUAAAAAGAGAAAGAGAGUAGGUCUUGUGUGCUAUUAGGAGCACGGAAGUCNAAAACAAAAGGUAUCUUAUAUAAAGGAACUAUUGGUCCAAUAAUUAAUAAGCUUAAGAAUGUAUAUGUGCAACAAACGGGAGGUCUCAUUUUCAUGUGUGUCAUGUUAUUAUCAAGUAGUUAUUACAAGUAAUGUACUCAUGUUUAUGCACAAAUACAUCCUGAUGAUUAUUAAAUUGGUUUGGCCUUAAUAGGAAGGAAUUAUUUGCACACCCAAUGUGUUUGCACCUAAUUUUAAUAACUAAUAUUUUGAAAUUAAAAUCUAAUUUUAUGAAUAGAAUUUAUAACUGUUGGGCUAGAAACCAAAUGCGGGGCGACAAUGGCCGAAUCAAUGCGAUGACCAUAUCAGACACCUCCUCGGGAUAUGAGUCGACUCAUGAGAUGACCCACGAAUGCGCCACUAUCAAUUCAAGCAAUUCGAUUAAGGAGAGAUCGGCCCAACCGUACUUUUCUGCUAAUUAUUCACAAGUGAACAGCAAAGCAAGCUCGGCUAUAAGAGCCGAACAAUUUAUACUGAUUGAAAAAGUGCGAUACAAAAGCUGUUACAAAGGCUAAAUCUAAUACUAGAAAAGCUCCUAAACAAACACCUGAUUAUGCUCUUAACCAAGCUCUUAAAAGUAGUAGAAAGAAAAUUUGUGGGCUAUUCCUUUGAAGCUGUGAAUGCUGGGAAUUGAAAUUAACUGAAAUUUGUUUUGGUCGCUUGCUCGUGUGAAGGAUUUCGAUCACAGACGUGUUUUUUUCUAUUUAUAGUAAUGUAUUCUCCCGCAUGCAGUUAUUAGUUAAUUCUUAUCGUCGAGGUUUUUUUGGAAUAUCCCGAUUUUUACGGGUUAUGCUUCGGCUGAUACUUUGCUGGUCACGAAAUCUUUCCUUCACGUCUCUAACCGUUCUUAUCUAAACCGCUCUUCUAUUCAGGAGUUUUUCUCUUUGGCUGCCGGUAUACCACGUGUCACCUUUUGUUUUGUUCCUGCUGUUUUCGAACCGCUUAUCAUGUAGCACUAUUUUUCUGACGCCAACAAUAAUAUUAAAAAGGACUAUGCAUAAAAGAAAAAAUUAAUACUAGUUUGAUUUGAAAAUGGUUUACAUAAGGGUGCGUUCGGUUCAAUGUAAAAAUAUAAAAAUUAAUUUUUUAUGAAAAAUAAAGUUCGGCGGAAAAAAAGUUUUAUAUUCCUUUGAUUUGUGGAAAAAAAAAAUAUCCAUCAAUAUAUAUAUACUUAGUUCAAAGAAAAAAAAAACACAUUUAUUUGAUUCAGUCGAAAAAAAAUUUUUACACAGUUUAAAUUUUUAUUUUCCACUGUAAAAUAACAGAAAACGAACCUUUCUAAUUUUUCUCUAAAAUUCAUAAAAAAUAUUUUAUAAAUAAAUAUUUUUUAUAUAGAUAAAAAAAAUUUAAAAAAAUCGUACUAAAUUCGAUUUGUUUUAUGCGGAACUAAAGGCCGCUGAGCAGUUCUUGACAGAAUAAGGGCAGGUUUUUUUUUUUUUUUGGGGUGGGGGGGACAUCGUGAUUUUUCAAAGUUGUGCAUUACACUCCGUACAGAUACUUGUCUGACAAUUAAUUUUUUUUUUAUAUAGCGUAAUAAAUUAAUCAAGUAUUUCUUUUUAGAGAUAUAUGUUCCAUCAUGAUUAUAAAAAAAUAUUUUUAUUAUAUUUUUAUUUUUUUUAAAAAAAUAUGAUUGAUUUUGUUAUUGAUAACGUGAUACAAGUAUGACAGUAUAGAAUUCUUCCAAUUGAGGACGGGGACAAGUCGACAAACACGUGGACAAACGUGUAUUAUUAUAUUAUAUUAUAUAUUUAUUAUUAUGAUAAGAAAUUGUGUGGACGCCCGGUCGUCUUGUCAUCGCACGGCAACAGGAUAAGAUCUCGUCUGGACCACCCCCGGUCGUCUAAUCAUCACAAAACCAGAAAGUAAGAUCUACAGGAUAAGAUCCAAAUGUGGGCGCCCACUGCCCACUAGCAAUGUGAAACGUACUACUAGAAUUUAAAAAUAAUUAUUAUAUAUAUACACUCUGACUAUUAUAUUUUUAUGAGCUCGAUCGUUUUCGUACUCAUAAAUUAUUUUUUGAUAAUAGAAUUUUCAAAUCGAUAAUUCAUACCGUUAUAUAUUAUCUAAAAUAUUUAAAACUUCUAAAAAUCAGAUUUUUAUAAUUUUUUGAUAUUAUUUAUUUUUCGAUUAAAAGAUCUCAGAAUUGAUAAUUUUUAAUGACCGGUAUGGUUACUUGCUAGUUUAAUGGUGUAAAAAAAUCGAAAUCUGUUGAUUUUUUGAUAGAAAAUUCUAUUCACUGUCUAGAUAAAGACUAAUAACUCCGAUUUUAAAUUCAAGGAUCCGAUCAUCCAUUUUUAUAACAUCGUUCGAUUUUGACUAUUUAUUUUAUGCCCACUUAAUAGAUUUUAUUAUGAUCUCGAAAAAUUACGAAACUUAUUUUUUAGAAAUUUCAAAUACUCUAAAUCAUAUUUAACGAAGUGGGUCAUCGAUUCGGAAGCUCCAUCAUCGAAAAUAAUUUAUGAGUAAAAAAGGCUCUAUACUUAUAAGAGUAUAGUAACCCUACUAUAUAUAUAUACAUAUAUAUAUAUAUAUAUAUAUAUAUAUAUAUAUAUAUAUAUAAUAAGAUUACUUUUUUUUAAUCUUAUUAUAAUAUUUUCGACAGUAAUUAAAUCUAAAGAAAUUAAGAAGGUUAAGCGUGCUAGAGGUAUGGUAAUUUUAUAAUGGAUGACCUCCUGGGAAACGAGGCCAAUCACUAGUCGUAAGAAUAAAAUGAGUCUCAACUAAACCAUGGUCGUAUGAUAGGUAAAGCGUGGCUUUCUGACUAAUGAUCAUUGCGGGUAGAGUGCGACGUAGCACAAAGUUAGAUAAGAUUAGCGAGACAAGUUUCAUAUCGUCUAGUGUUUAUGAAUGUUUUUGAGCAUGAUAAGAACGUCAGAACUUAAAGGGAUAUAAUAUAGCUAAACCUUCCGGUUAUAAUAUUUUGAGCUGUAGUUAAUUUUUAGAAUUUAAGAAGGUUAAGCGUAUUAGAGUUAAAAUAGCUCUACAAUGGAUGACCUCUUAAAAAACGGAGCGUUUACAGUAGCCUCAUGAAAAUACUGCAACACUAUGUUACCCUUACAACAUAAAAACAAAAAUAGAAAAGAUUAAAUUAGAGGACGUGGAAGCCCUUCUCCUACACAUAUAUGGGCUGUAAGGAACACGCAUGCAUGCUUUGCAACUAAACAUGCAGUAACAGUGAUAAAAUUGUAAUUAAAAGUUCAUUUACCUCAACUAGGUUAUUCCUAAUUGGGCAUAGUUUUAUAAAGGCUAACUGCACUUUUGUUUUCAAACUACAGACAUGCGACAUUUUUGUUCCGAAACUUUAAAUUAUUAUAAUUUUUGACUUCAUCAACUUUAUAAAUAUUGCAAUUAAGUUCUAUAAUAUAAUUUAUUUAACUAAAUAUUAAUAUAUUUGUGAUAUCCCUGGAGUACAGUAGUUGAGGCUUGUCGACGCGUCAUGAAAGUGUCGGGAUAAUUCCGAGUUGCGUUUGGCGCGAACAGUUGCAAAACGGACUCAGUGGGGACACGAGAGCAGGAGUUAGCAUUGGAAUCUGCAAAUUGCAGAUUUCCUGCUUGUUGUACCGGUACAACAUCAGAGGUGUACCGGUACACUUUCUGUACCGGUACAACAUCGGAUGUGUACCGGUACACUUCACCUAUUUUCCGCGCAGCUGCUCUCGGGUUACCAUUUGUACCGGUACAACCACACGUAUACCGGUACAUCAGGGUAGGUGAGAGGGCAUUUUGAUCUUUUCAUGUCUCGUACGUGUCACCCUCUCUCCCCAUUACUAUAACAGGUGUAGAGGAGCUGAGAGAGAGAAAUUUUACUGUUCUUCUUCUCCUUUCUCUCUCUAGCCUUGGCCGUGAGCAAGGAGAAGCUCGGUUGGAGUUCGAGUGUCGCCGACGACGCGCCGCAGUGUCGUUCGAGUGUGCGUUCGUCAUCGUAGCAUCGCGAGGAGGCCGGGCGAGGGUGCGAUUCCGCCGUUCUCGACGUCGCGCCGGAUUGGGUUUAGCUUUUGAGGUGGGUUAAUCGUUGGUUAUCUUCUAAGUAUAUAAAUUGUCGACAUGUGUUUUUAUGUUGUUUCGUUGAUAGAAAUUGCUCGAUCCAUGGAUUUUGGCAUGUUUAACUGUAGAAUCUGAAUUGGAGCUUAGUACUGUGACUAGGUAUUUACACAUGUUGGACUUGGAUUUGACUUAGGAGAAAACUUGCGAUUUAAACCUGUCACAUGCUUAAACUAUCUGAUUUAGCUCUAGGGGCCGUUGUUAUUUUAUAUCACCGCAGUAUCAGCGUGGGAUGCCGAGUGUAUAUUUACAGUAGUGUUCAGACUGUUCCGGACUGUUGGGUGCCGUCGGGGUUGACGGUGGACCCAUAUCGCCGUUUUGGGUGUCAGAUUGUGCUGAGGGCAUGUGACCUGUUGCUUGUUAGACCAGUUGGACCUUGUUACUUGACUUUGGCUUGUGAGAGCCUGAUUGAGCUCGACAGAGAUACGCUUGCAUACUCGGUUGGGUAGCUCCCACGAGUGUCACUCCGAAGGCGGGCGCUGUGCUUUCGCGUUGAUGUCGUUUGUGCAGGUUGGACUCGCUCUUCACGGACUGCUUAGAGUAGAGGUAGCUGUAUAGUCGCACUGGGCGGGACAAGUGUAUUCACAGUCCCAGGGACAGGUAGGCUUACAGUCCAACAUCGAUUGAGUCAGAAUUGACACUUCCUAUAGUUGGUUAGUGUAGAGCAUGAUAGUGUAGUGUCUUGUAGCUGUAAAGUUUCUUCCAGCAUUUCAUACUAUCCUUGCUCCCUUCUGUAAACUUAGUGGGUAGACUGACGAUGUCUAGGGUGGUACCCACUGAGAACUACUUGUUUUUAUAGCAAUUCUCACGCCCAGCUGUUACCCUGUUUUUGCAGAGCCUGCUGUUCUGGCUGUUGCUCCCUCGAAGACUGAUCGUGGCAAGCACGUUGCCAGUUAGAGCCCUUCCCAGUUACUGCUGUUCGUAAGGUUACCAGCUGCAAGUAGUGCUAGUUUUUGAGUUUCUUAUACAUACUGGUUGUAUCUCGCUGGGCGAGCUUUUGUGUACCUGAACUUAUGUAUGUAUGUAUAUGGAACUUGUUCCUGUUUAUACCAGUUUUAUUCGAACAGCUCUAUACUAUUGUUUGUAAUAUUAUAUAUUUUACAGGUACAGCUAUCGCUUCGUAUAUAGGAAAUUUUUUUUUGUAUACGGCGAAUUUGUCGGCGUGCCCGGAGAACGUGCAAUCUCGGGCGUGACAAUAUUGCUGUUAUAAAAAUAAUAUAGCUAAUAGUUAUGAUGUCAAAUUACAUUUAUACUAGAUUGUGUUUGAUUCUUCCAAAAAAAAAAAGUGAAAAAAGAUUUCCGAGAAUAGAAAUUUUAUGAUUUUUUUUUUUCAGUUUUUCCAUCUGUAUGGUUUCAAGGAAGGCAAGCUUUUGUAGAAAGUCUUUUUCUCAAUUUCAAGGCAUAUUAAUAAUUUUAUUUUUCAAUUCUCAAAAAAAUAAAAAUACUAGAUUUUUAUAAAAUUUGGAAAAAAGUUUUUCAAAAGAAGCUAGUUUUUCUUUGAACAAAACAGACAGAAAUCUAGAAAAAAGAUUUUUCCAUUUAAUAUUUUUUAAAAAAAUCAUACUUUUCUAAGAAAUCAAAUAGCUCCUUCGCGAAACGUUAAUAUUUAGAGAACGUAUUGUGCUAUAGGACAUAAUUGUAACAUUUAUAAAGUUUGAAGCAAAAAUUGUAAAAAAUUAAAAAAUACUACUUGUACUUCCUAAAAUAAGAUGUACAUUUUAUAUUCCUUUAUCCUAAAGUUUAUAAAAUUUAAAAAAUUUCUGUAUUAGAAAAAAAAAUUUAUAAAUUUAUAAUUACUUAGUAAAUGAUGUCGAAAAAUUAUGAAAUUUGAUUUCUAAAUAGUUCUAAUAGAAUUGAUUAUACCUAAUGAAGCCGAUCGUCGAAUCAAAUAUUCUAUUAUCGAAUACAAUUUAUAGAUAUUUAUAGAUAUAGAGGCCUCCAAGCUUUUGAAAGCACAGAAGACGCACUAUAUAUAUAUAGCAUGUAGAGAAUUAGGUUAUUGGCUUUUGGAGAUUCGUGAUUACUGAAACCACGAAAAUUUACGUAACCUCGAGUUAAUAUANUACCAAAAAAAAGCUCGCCUAGCAAGCAGAGGACCGUAUAUGCAAAUAUAAAUUUAUCAUGACUAUUUAUAAAAAAAAAAUUGUGAGGGGAAUAAAUGUAAAAAAAAAACCCGGUUUCAGGUGUUUUGUGCGUUAUUCAGAGCUGAGGAGUGAGGACCGCACCGGACCGGGUUUAACAUCGGACCAAGUUAAUUAUUCCCGAGUCCAAAUACCCUUGCUUAGGCGAAGAAACGACAAAAGGACGGCCCGGCCCCGACCGGAUCAGAAUAUCUCAGCCGUUUGAAAUGAUUUUCCAGCACCCGGUGCAUCCCUAUGUCUCGUACACCGCACCUAAUUAUGAUGAUCAAAUAAAAAAAUUUGGACUUCUUUUUGCAAAAAUCCCAUACGAUUUUUUAAUUCUUAAAACGACCGUUGAGGAGUGAUAAAUUGUUCAUCGCUUUUAGUAAGCGAUGAAUCAUUUACUGUUUUUUGAUUGUAUAGGUUGUGAGAAUUUUUAUGAGUUGUUAGAAUUAUACGAAGAAGACUGUUAUAAUUUUUGUUUGAUUAUUAACUUUUUUUUGUUAAGAAAAGAACAAUAAAUAAUUCGUUAUCUUCUAUAUUUUAUUACAAAUGGUAAAUAAUUUAUAGUUUUUUUAAUUAUUUUUCCAUCCAAUAUUGAAUUGAACAAAAUAGGGUAAUUCGGCCAAAUUAAAUUUUUACAAGAUUAUUUAGCAAAUUAUAAGAUUAAAAGGGUUAAAUCGAAAAAAAAAAGUCUUGAAAUUUUAAUUAUACAUUCGAAAAAGGGUAUAGAUUUUACACUUUCAUUCUAGAGUUUACAAAAAACUCUAUGAAUGUAAUAAAAAAAAAAAUAAUUGAUGUGAUGUUUAGAAAAAUUAGUUUUCAAAUAAAAAUAGUGUAAGAUGUAGGUGUACCAGGCAUUGGAUGAUCAAAUUUCAUUGUGAAGUAAUAAUAUACUAUGAAAUAUAAGUAGUGAAUUUCAAUAUUACAUUAGUUAUAAUAAUUUCUAAAAUACGUAGCUCUGAGCUCUGUUUAUUUUUACAAUAAGUUUAUAAUAUUUUGAGAAAAUUAAUGAUGAUCCGAUACUAUGGAUAUCAAUUGAUCGGAUUUAGAGAGGGUUUUUAAAAAACCGAACCCAAAUCGGACUAUCAAAUCUGAAUCCAAACCCGAAUUUGAUGAAUUUUAGAAAUCUAUAUCCAAAUCCAACAAAAUUCGAAACUAAACCCGAAUCCGAGAAUUCGAACCCCAAAUAAUUAUUUCUCUUUACCAUAUUUCAAAACAUAUUAUGUUAAAUCUAAUUUUUUUUAAAUACAAAUUCAAAUAUAACAUCAAACAUAUAUAUAUAUAUAGAGAGAGAGAGAGAGAGAGUAUAUGACUUAUGUGCUAUUAGGGGCACAGUAGUCCUUGAGCUUUUAACUUUUUAGCCAACUAUCAAGUUUGAUGGAUGGUUAGAAUGAGAGAGGAAGAAAAUAUUGAGAAGAAAUUAGAUGUCUUAAUUUCUCUUCUCCUUGAAUUUCUUCCUUUUUCAUUCUAACCACCCAUCAAACUUGAUGAUUGGUUAGAAAGUUAGGAGCACAAAAACUGCUGUGCUCCUAAUAGCACAGUAGUCCUUCUCUCUCUCUCUCUCUCUCUCUCUCUCUCUCUAUAUAUAUAUAUAUAUAUAUAUAUAUAUAUAGUAGGAUGAAAAGAUUUGAUAAAAAAAUUCGAAAUUUAGUUUCUAUAUAUUUCAAGUGGUACAUAUUAUGUUCAAAGAUAUCGAUCGUUAAUUUGGAGGUUCUAUCAUCGAAAAUAAAUGAAUGACAGUAAAGCCUGUUUACUAGAUAGCAUUCGAGCUCAACUCUCUCUCUUUCUUUCUCUAUCUAUAUAUAUAUAUAAUAUUUUGAUCAAUUGACUAAUUAAUAUUAUCAUUUUAAAUUGAUAGAAUAUGAUUUUAGGUGGUGAAUUAGAAGUUGUGCAGUUAACAUAAAAAACUUGUCUGUAUCCAAUGGGUGAAAGCUCCAAUGGUACUGAUACGCAUAAUCCUUUCAAAAAAAAACAACUAAAAAACUUAUUUGAUUUGUAAAAAAUUAGCUGUGCCCGCAAUUAUUUAUCCAUCAUUCAUGUCAAUUAGCGUCGAGAUCAACCUUUCCAUUAUUAUUAAUUAUUCAAGUUACCAUUCGAGUUAAUACAACGGCUUCUUUCUUUCUUUAUUUCUUUUCUUUUUCUUUUCUUUUUUUUUUUACAAUUGGUGAUUAUGUGGUCCAUAUAUAAAAAGUGGAUAUUUAUAGAUAGCAAGAUUUGAUAGCGAAAACAUAUCUGUUCAUAGUACUGUUAAUUACUCUAUUUAAAUAUUAUCUUUUUAUCCUUCAAAAAAUAUUAGGGUUAAUUUUAUACAACUCUCUGUAAAUAUAUCGUAUCGCAAAUGUAUCCCUACAAAGUUUAACUUUUUAUAUUUAUUCCUAUAAAAAUUCAAUGAUAUUCAUAUUUAUCCCUCUGAUUUAUUACCAUUAUAGUACUAUUUAUUUUCUAACAGAAAAUAAAUAAAAUUAUAUUUCUAUUAUUACAAAUAUGUCUCUCCAAAAGCCCAAUUAUUAAAAUUAUGAAGAAAUGUCCUCCAAAAAAUUUCCAAAGAUUUUCUUCUUCCUUUCUACCAUUACAAAUAAUAUAAAAGUGAUAAAAAGAUCAAUUUAGCUCAUUUACUAAUCAUGGGUAAGUAUUUUACGUUCCAAUCGUUAACUGUUUUUUUCUAACGGAUCUUAAUAAUGUUAAGAAUAUGCCUUCUUUUGAACUUGGGUUGAAUCAAAUUAGUUAACCCAUUAAGUUGGUUUAUAAAAGAUGGUAUAGGCUAGGACCAUGGAUUACAUCAAAUUGAUUUUCAGUUUAUUGGUGUAAGAUUUGUGUUUAUCUACACAUGUCCUCUCCUAGUCUAAUUAGGAUUGUUGACUUGUUGACCGCACCUAUAUAUAUACAUGCAUGGCUAUGCAACCGGGGAAGAGGCGUCAUGUGUGAGAAAAUUAAUUAGCAUCGGGCUAAUUAAUUCACAAGCUUCCGAGGCGUACGGCAGCAAGGAACCUAAUUAAUUAAGGUGGCUCCGUCCGUAUGGUUAGAGAAGAAGCACCGCGUCUUUGCAUGCGACGUCGGAUUGGAGUCGGCAGCAGGAGCGGCGGUUCUUAACCAAUUGCCUGAGCAGUUCGGAUUCUUUGAAGCAACGGCAUAAAGGAAUUUGGUUAGAGUUUCUAUACUUCUCUAAUUUGGUUCUCAGUUUUACGAAAAGCUUUUUCAGUAUUUUCUUGGAGUUUUCGUUGGAACAAGAAAGGUGGGAUUCACCAUAAGGUUCUUGGUUUUUUUUAUCCGGAGAAGACAUAAGGUGUAAGCUUAUACUUCUAUUUCUUCAUAUAGUGGAAUACAUCUCUCUCGCUCUCCCCGUGGACGUAAGUAAUUGCCGAAACACGUAAAUCUUAGUUUCUUCUUUCUGCAUUUAUUUCUUUUACCGUUCGGUCGAUUUUCUCUAUUUUUCGUGCAUCCUUGUUGGUAGCACAUGACGGACGAUCCAUCCGGUUCCCAACAAGUGGUAUCAGAGCGUAAGGUUCGUGCUACAUCAGAGAUGUCGAAAGUCUCGUCUUCUAAGUUUGAGGUGGAGAAAUUUGACGGUAAAGAAAACUUCGAUCUCUGGCAGAGAAGAGUGAAAGCCCUUCUGGUUCAACAGGGCCUUCAUAAGGCAUUGCUCGGAAAAUCGAAAAAGCCGACAUCGAUGAGCGACGAAGAUUGGGAGGAUAUUAAUCUGCAAGCGGUGAAUACAAUUAUAUUGUGUCUAGCAGAUGAAGUGAUGUAUAACGUAAUGGAUGAAGAAACUACAGUCGGCAUGUGGGACAAGCUAGAGAAGCUGUACAUGACCAAAAGCCUCUCGAACGUGCUGUACCUAAAGCAAAAAUUAUAUGGACUACGCAUGAAGGAAGGUACGGCAAUAACGGAACACUUGAACACCUUUAAUAAAUUAUUGCGGAUUUGCUAAGCAUUAAUGUCAAGGUUGACGAGGACGAUAAGGCGUUGAUUUUUCUUACAUCACUUCCGUCGUCCUACAAUCACUUGGUGAUCACCAUACUGUACGGGAAGCAAACUCUAAAGAUGGAAGAUGUUACAUCGACACUUUUAUCUGAAGAGAUCAGGUUGCAGGCGAGUACCGAAGAAAGCAGUGCAGGUUUGGUCGUAAAUGAUACAAGUGGAGGAAGGGGACGAUCAAGCGAACGUGAUGCAGGUAAAGGAAGAUCCCGUUCCAAGUCAAAAUCGAAAAAGGUGAAGUGUUACUUCUGUAGAAAAAAGGGCCACAUGAAAAAGAACUGCGAAAAGAGGAAGGCUUGGCUGCGAAAUCAGAAUUCCUCUGCAGAUACGGCGAGCGUAGCGAGUGAUUCCGGUCAGGACGUCUUGACGGUUACAACAGAUUUUGACUCUCACGGUGACUGGAUAUUAGAUUCUGGUUGUUCUUAUCACAUGUCUCCAAACAGGUCUUUAUUUGAUACUUAUAAGUCUUGUGAAGGCAGUAGUGUUAUGAUGGGUAAUCGCACUAAUUGCAAGAUGGUCGAUAUCGGAACAGUAAAAAUAAAGAUGUUUGAUGGUGUGGUGAGGACGUUAACGGAUGUGAGACACAUUCCGGAUCUCAGGUUAAAUCUUAUAUCACUUGGUACUCUUGACUCUACUGGCUGUUCUAUUAGCAUUUCAGGUGGAGUUGUCAAGGUUAAAAAGGGUACCAUGGUCGUCAUGAAGGGAGAGAAGAAAGGGAAUCUGUAUAGGCUGAUCGGCGAGUCGGUGAUUGGAGGUGUUGCGGUAACAUCCCCAGAAGAUCAUGAUGCUGAUGAUACGGAGCUCUGGCACAUGAGAUUAGCCCACAUGAGUGAAAAAGGGAUGUUGGAACUGCAUAAAAGGGGAGUACUUAAAGGUAUUAAAUCCUGUAAACUUAAUUUCUGCAAAUAUUGUUUAUUUGGAAAACAGAAAAGGUUGAGUUUCAGGACAUCCAGUCAUAAAAGCAAAAGUAUACUUGAGUACAUCCAUGCGGACGUGUGGGGACCGGCUCCGGUGACUUCGAAAGGUGGUGCACGAUAUUUUAUUACAUUUAUCGAUGAUUUCUCUCGUAAGGUUUGGGUAUUCUUCAUGAAGGAAAAGUCUGAGGCAUUUAUAAAGUUCAGACAUUGGAAGAGUGAGGUGGAGAAACAAACUGGGAAGCAGGUCAAGGUUCUUCGAACGGACAAUGGUGAAGAGUUCACUUCUCGGGAGUUUAAGAAAUUCUGCAAGGAUGAAGGUAUUGUACGUCAUUACACGGUUCCAGGUACUGCACAGCAGAAUGGGGUAGCAGAAAGGAUGAACCGGACAUUGCUAGAACGUGCCAGAUCCAUAAGGUUAUGUGCAGAUUUGCCAAAUUUAUCCCUCUGAUUUAUUACCAUUAUAGUACUAUUUAUUUUCUAACAGAAAAUAAAUAAAAUUAUAUUUCUAUUAUUACAAAUAUGUCUCUCCAAAAGCCCAAUUAUUAAAAUUAUGAAGAAAUGUCCUCCAAAAAAUUUCCAAAGAUUUUCUUCUUCCUUUCUACCAUUACAAAUAAUAUAAAAGUGAUAAAAAGAUCAAUUUAGCUCAUUUACUAAUCAUGGGUAAGUAUUUUACGUUCCAAUCGUUAACUGUUUUUUUCUAACGGAUCUUAAUAAUGUUAAGAAUAUGCCUUCUUUUGAACUUGGGUUGAAUCAAAUUAGUUAACCCAUUAAGUUGGUUUAUAAAAGAUGGUAUAGGCUAGGACCAUGGAUUACAUCAAAUUGAUUUUCAGUUUAUUGGUGUAAGAUUUGUGUUUAUCUACACAUGUCCUCUCCUAGUCUAAUUAGGAUUGUUGACUUGUUGACCGCACCUAUAUAUAUACAUGCAUGGCUAUGCAACCGGGGAAGAGGCGUCAUGUGUGAGAAAAUUAAUUAGCAUCGGGCUAAUUAAUUCACAAGCUUCCGAGGCGUACGGCAGCAAGGAACCUAAUUAAUUAAGGUGGCUCCGUCCGUAUGGUUAGAGAAGAAGCACCGCGUCUUUGCAUGCGACGUCGGAUUGGAGUCGGCAGCAGGAGCGGCGGUUCUUAACCAAUUGCCUGAGCAGUUCGGAUUCUUCGAAGCAACGGCAUAAAGGAAUUUGGUUAGAGUUUCUAUACUUCUCUAAUUUGGUUCUCAGUUUUACGAAAAGCUUUUUCAGUAUUUUCUUGGAGUUUUCGUUGGAACAAGAAAGGUGGGAUUCACCAUAAGGUUCUUGGUUUUUUUUAUCCGGAGAAGACAUAAGGUGUAAGCUUAUACUUCUAUUUCUUCAUAUAGUGGAAUACAUCUCUCUCGCUCUCCCCGUGGACGUAAGUAAUUGCCGAAACACGUAAAUCUUAGUUUCUUCUUUCUGCAUUUAUUUCUUUUACCGUUCGGUCGAUUUUCUCUAUUUUUCGUGCAUCCUUGUUGGUAGCACAUGACGGACGAUCCAUCCGGUUCCCAACAAGUGGUAUCAGAGCGUAAGGUUCGUGCUACAUCAGAGAUGUCGAAAGUCUCGUCUUCUAAGUUUGAGGUGGAGAAAUUUGACGGUAAAGAAAACUUCGAUCUCUGGCAGAGAAGAGUGAAAGCCCUUCUGGUUCAACAGGGCCUUCAUAAGGCAUUGCUCGGAAAAUCGAAAAAGCCGACAUCGAUGAGCGACGAAGAUUGGGAGGAUAUUAAUCUGCAAGCGGUGAAUACAAUUAUAUUGUGUCUAGCAGAUGAAGUGAUGUAUAACGUAAUGGAUGAAGAAACUACAGUCGGCAUGUGGGACAAGCUAGAGAAGCUGUACAUGACCAAAAGCCUCUCGAACGUGCUGUACCUAAAGCAAAAAUUAUAUGGACUACGCAUGAAGGAAGGUACGGCAAUAACGGAACACUUGAACACCUUUAAUAAAUUAUUGCGGAUUUGCUAAGCAUUAAUGUCAAGGUUGACGAGGACGAUAAGGCGUUGAUUUUUCUUACAUCACUUCCGUCGUCCUACAAUCACUUGGUGAUCACCAUACUGUACGGGAAGCAAACUCUAAAGAUGGAAGAUGUUACAUCGACACUUUUAUCUGAAGAGAUCAGGUUGCAGGCGAGUACCGAAGAAAGCAGUGCAGGUUUGGUCGUAAAUGAUACAAGUGGAGGAAGGGGACGAUCAAGCGAACGUGAUGCAGGUAAAGGAAGAUCCCGUUCCAAGUCAAAAUCGAAAAAGGUGAAGUGUUACUUCUGUAGAAAAAAGGGCCACAUGAAAAAGAACUGCGAAAAGAGGAAGGCUUGGCUGCGAAAUCAGAAUUCCUCUGCAGAUACGGCGAGCGUAGCGAGUGAUUCCGGUCAGGACGUCUUGACGGUUACAACAGAUUUUGACUCUCACGGUGACUGGAUAUUAGAUUCUGGUUGUUCUUAUCACAUGUCUCCANNNNNNNNNNNNNNNNNNNNNNNNNGAUUUGCCAAAGGAGUUCUGGGCUGAAGCAGUAGAUAUGGCGUGCUAUAUUAUUAAUCGAUCUCCCGCCACAGCAAUCGAACUCAAAACACCGGAGGAAGUAUGGACAGGUAAACUUGCAGAUUAUUCCUCCUUACGGGUCUUUGGUUGUCCUGCUUAUGUCCAUAUCCAGAAAAAUCAGCGCACAAAAUUAGAUUCGAAGUCAAAGCCCUGCAUAUUUCUUGGGUACGAUAUGGGUGUUAAAGGAUACAAGCUGUGGGACCCUAUCGCCAAGAAGAAGGUGAUUAGCAGGGACGUAGUUUUUGACGAAAAAGUUAUGCCGCGUAAAGAUCAUCAGGAGGCUCAACGUGAAGAACAGUAAAAAACUACGCAGAUCCAGGUAGAGCGGCAAGAGGGUGUAGAUGAUCAGGUGGAGCAGCCCCACUAUCAGGAUGAUCAUGGUACACAAAGCGAUCCGAUUGAAAGCACUUCGGAGGAGCCCUACUCUAUCGCUAAAGGAAGGGAAAGGAGAUAGAUUCGUCCACCUUUACGGUACAGGUUGGAGGAUAUAGUAUCUUAUGCCUUAUUAAUUACAUCAGAUGAUCCCACUUCCUAUCAGGAGGCGAUGCAGGACAGAGAUAGUGGCAGAUGGAUAGCGGCUAAGAAUCAGAAUGAAGUGCAACAAUUAAAGGAUUAGUUGAGCCGAGAAUUCGACAUGAAGGACCUAGGAGGUGCUAGAAAAAUCCUAGGUAUGGAGAUCAGACGCGACCGCAUACAGGGUAAGUUGUGGUUGUCGCAGAAGACAUAUAUAUGAGCUAUUAUAAAGCAAUUUAAUAUGUCAGAGGCGAAGGCGGUCAAGACUCCAUUAGCCCAACACUUCAAACUUUCUGAGGAGAUGUGUCCCAAGACGGAUGAGGAGAUUACUUCUACGUCAAAGAUACCAUAUGCUAGUGCAAUCAGUUGCCUGAUGUAUGCUAUGAUCUGCACUAGGCCUGAUCUUUCACAUGCAGUUAGUAUUGUCAGUCGGUAUAUGUCGAAUCCAGGGAAACAGCACUGGGAGGCCGUGAAGUGGAUUUUGCGGUAUCUGAAGGGCACAUCAGAUAAAAGUAUUCUCUACUCGAAAGAUUCUGGUAAUGAUGAAGUGAAGGGGUUUGUAGAUUCCGACUAUGCGGGUGAUUUGGACAAGCGUUGGUCUAUUACAGAUUACGUCUUUCUGCUGUGCGGCGGACCUAUCAUUUGGAAAUCUACGUUGCAGCGCACUGUAGCCUUGUCAACUACAGAAGCGGAGUAUAUGGCGGAAAUUGAAGCAGCUAAGGAAGCAGUCUGGCUUAGAGGCUUGGUUGGUGAACUCGGGAUUGUGCAAGAAAAAAUGAUUAUCGGUUGUGAUAGUCAGAGUGCUAUAUGUCUCGCCAGGAAUCCAGUUUACCAUGGGAGGACAAAGCACAUAGAAAUCAAGUAUCACAANUAUAUAUAUAGUAGGAUGAAAAGAUUUGAUAAAAAAAUUCGAAAUUUAGUUUCUAUAUAUUUCAAGUGGUACAUAUUAUGUUCAAAGAUAUCGAUCGUUAAUUUGGAGGUUCUAUCAUCGAAAAUAAAUGAAUGACAGUAAAGCCUGUUUACUAGAUAGCAUUCGAGCUCAACUCUCUCUCUUUCUUUCUCUAUCUAUAUAUAUAUAUAAUAUUUUGAUCAAUUGACUAAUUAAUAUUAUCAUUUUAAAUUGAUAGAAUAUGAUUUUAGGUGGUGAAUUAGAAGUUGUGCAGUUAACAUAAAAAACUUGUCUGUAUCCAAUGGGUGAAAGCUCCAAUGGUACUGAUACGCAUAAUCCUUUCAAAAAAAAACAACUAAAAAACUUAUUUGAUUUGUAAAAAAUUAGCUGUGCCCGCAAUUAUUUAUCCAUCAUUCAUGUCAAUUAGCGUCGAGAUCAACCUUUCCAUUAUUAUUAAUUAUUCAAGUUACCAUUCGAGUUAAUACAACGGCUUCUUUCUUUCUUUAUUUCUUUUCUUUUUCUUUUCUUUUUUUUUUUACAAUUGGUGAUUAUGUGGUCCAUAUAUAAAAAGUGGAUAUUUAUAGAUAGCAAGAUUUGAUAGCGAAAACAUAUCUGUUCAUAGUACUGUUAAUUACUCUAUUUAAAUAUUAUCUUUUUAUCCUUCAAAAAAUAUUAGGGUUAAUUUUAUACAACUCUCUGUAAAUAUAUCGUAUCGCAAAUGUAUCCCUACAAAGUUUAACUUUUUAUAUUUAUUCCUAUAAAAAUUCAAUGAUAUUCAUAUUUAUCCCUCUGAUUUAUUACCAUUAUAGUACUAUUUAUUUUCUAACAGAAAAUAAAUAAAAUUAUAUUUCUAUUAUUACAAAUAUGUCUCUCCAAAAGCCCAAUUAUUAAAAUUAUGAAGAAAUGUCCUCCAAAAAAUUUCCAAAGAUUUUCUUCUUCCUUUCUACCAUUACAAAUAAUAUAAAAGUGAUAAAAAGAUCAAUUUAGCUCAUUUACUAAUCAUGGGUAAGUAUUUUACGUUCCAAUCGUUAACUGUUUUUUUCUAACGGAUCUUAAUAAUGUUAAGAAUAUGCCUUCUUUUGAACUUGGGUUGAAUCAAAUUAGUUAACCCAUUAAGUUGGUUUAUAAAAGAUGGUAUAGGCUAGGACCAUGGAUUACAUCAAAUUGAUUUUCAGUUUAUUGGUGUAAGAUUUGUGUUUAUCUACACAUGUCCUCUCCUAGUCUAAUUAGGAUUGUUGACUUGUUGACCGCACCUAUAUAUAUACAUGCAUGCCUAUGCAACCGGUGUAGAGGCGUCAUGUGUGAGAAAAUUAAUUAGCCCGUAUGCAUGCCUAUGCAACCGGUGUAGAGGCGUCAUGUGUGAGAAAAUUAAUUAGCCCGUAUGCAUGCCUAUGCAACCGGUGUAGAGGCGUCAUGUGUGAGAAAAUUAAUUAGCCCGUAUGCAUGCCUAUGCAACCGGUGUAGAGGCGUCAUGUGUGAGAAAAUUAAUUAGCAUCGGGCUAAUUAAUUCACAAGCUUCCGGAGGCGUACGGCAGCAAGGAACCUAAUUAAUUAAGGUGGCUCCGUCCGUACGGUUAGAGAAGAAGCACCGCGUCUUUGCAUGCGACGUCGGAUUGGAGUCGGCAGCAGGAGCGGCGGUUCUUAACCAAUUGUCUGAGCAGUUCGGAUUCUUCGAAGCAACGACAUAAAGGAAUUUGGUUAGAGUUUUUAUACUUCUCUAAUUUGGUCUUCUCGGUUUUACGAAAAGCUUUUUCGGUAUUUUCUUAGAGUUUUCGUUGGAACAAGAAAGGUGGGAUUCACCAUAAGGUUCUUGGUUUUUUUUAUCCGGAGAAGACAUAAGGUAUAAGCUUGUACUUCUAUUUCUUCAUAUAGUGGAAUACAUCUCUCUCGCUCUCCCCGUGGACGUAGGCAAUUGCCGAACUACGUAAAUCUUGGUUUCUUCUUUCUGCAUUUAUUUCUUUUACCGUUCGGUCGAUUUUCUCUAUUUUUCGUGCAUCCUUGUUGGUAGCACAUGACGGACGAUCCAUCCGGUUCCCAACAAAUAAUAUGUGAAUAUUUAAAAAUAUUAGAACUUUUAUGGGAAUAAAUUUUUCAUUGUAUUGUAGUAUCUUCAUUUUUCAAAUUUUAUCCCGAAAAUAAAAAAAUGUGCAUGGAAAAAAAAAAUUUCAUGAAAAGCUUUUCCCCCACAAAAAAAUUUUUUAUGCUUUUUUGUGAAAGCAAACACAUCCUUAAUUUUGGUAAUGGAACCUGUUCAGCAGGUUCCAUUACCAAAAUUUUUUAUUUCACCCUUUCCUUAUUGAUGGUCAGAUUUGAUUAUAGUCAUUGAAUAUAUUGAAGCAUUAAUUCUUCUAUAAUAUUUCAGUGUCAUUCUAUGUUAGCUUAAACUAUAGAAAAAGAAUAUAUUGUUUUAAAUCAUUUACUAGUCCACUUAUAUGCACGUGUUUCAAUUAAUGUUUCCUUGCUAAGAGAACCUUAAUUGCCGACAAUAUAUUAUAAAUACCAAUAAAUAAUAAUACAAAAAUAUUAUAUUGAAAUAAUAUGAAGCUUAAAUUUUAAUGAUUUAACAAUUGUUUCAUGUUAUUGGAUGUGCAUAUAUAUCCGAGUGGGAAAUUGAGUACAGCAGACUCCUAUCUUCAUUUAAUUUCUUUUCAUAUAUAUAUAUAUAUAUAUAUAUAUAUAUAUAUAUAUAUAGAAUUAGGCUACUAUACUAUCUAUGGUACCGGAGCUCCGGUACUAUAGUCUUGUUUUCGAUCUUAAGGUGUUCAAAUUAACGAUCCACACCGUUAAAUAUGAUAUAGGGUAUGUUGGUAGCCGAAAUCUACAAUCCCUGACCCGGUCAAAGAUCCUCCUCGGGGAGCGCGUAGGGAUGCGGAAUGGCUGUGGAUGGUGACCCUCGAAAUUUGCGCCAUUCGAUUGAUCAAGCGAUUCGGCUGACGAGGGAUCAGGUCAACCGGAUUCGAAACCUUUACAGCAAAUUUGGUUCGGCUGGAUGAGCCGAAUGAACAAAAGAAGUCAGAAUUUCAACCGAGGAAUGAGCCGAAUGGCUAAUACAGCACAAGAGCUGGUCGGCCUGAAGAGCCGAACACUGCCUUCUAUUGAAAGAGAAUAGAGAAAGUAUAGGAAAAAGGGUUUUAGUUUACAACGGAGUAAUGCCCAAAAGGCAGACAGACUUCAGGAUGCUAAGUUACAGGAACUACUCUUAGGAAAAACAGUAAAUGCGAGAAAGAAAGAUGCAGUAAAAUAAAUGUGGUCUUUUGUGCGCAGGGGCGAAGACCCCUUUUUGGGAUAUUAUUACCCUAUUUAUAGAUAGCCCCCUCGGUCAGUUAUUGUUCUUACACGAUCGGCCACUAUCUCCCAUAUUCCGGACCACUUCUAGCCGAUUGGAACCGCAUGUAACUGCUUGCGGUUACCGUAACUUCCUUCAAUUGGCGCGAUACACUUUUCCGGUGCUCCCGAUACACGACCGAGUAGAUGCUUUUGAAGGGAAUAUUCGCACCUAAAUCUCAUCCGCGCCUAAUUGGCUCAACAGGGUAUAUGAAGUUCUUAGGAAUAAAAUUUUUGUUUUUUUCGACAUCGUUUACUUCGUAAAUAAAUUAUGUCAAAAUAGACGGUGCAAAUUGAAUAAUUUUUAAAAUUUGAGUAUAGGACUUUUAAAUUCAAGAUCAAGAAUGUUAACCUUAAUCUAGAUAGUUUAAAGAAUUUUCUAUCAAAAUUUGAAGAAAUUUAGAUUCUUCUACACCGUUAAACUCCAAACUAGCCAUAGUAGCCAUUGAAAAUUGACAAUUUUGAAAUGGGCUUGAUAUAUCAUAAAGUAAACUAUGUCGAAAAAAUAUAAAAUUUUAUUUCUAAAAACUUUAAAUAUCCUAGAUCAGUGUUAACGGUGUGAAUCGUUGAUUUGAACACCCUAAGAUCGGAAAACGAGACUAUAGUACCGGAGCUCCGGUACUAUAGAUAGUAUAGUAGCCUAAUUCUAUAUGNGUAUAUAUAUAUAUAUAUAUAUAUAUAUAUAUAUAUAUAUAUAUAUAUAUAUAUAUAUAUAUAUAUAUAUAUAUAUUCUGAAAGCAAAUAAUUAUUUAGGAAAAAUACUGCUAUACAUAGAAAUUCUUGUGGGGAUCAAUUUUGUAGAGCUUGGCACCUAUGCUUUUGAAAGUACGGAAGCCUUUGUGUUUGUAAGUUGUUUUCGAUGAGGGGACAUCCGAUUCGGCGAUCGGCUCUAUUAGACAUGAUCUAUACUAUUAUAACUAUUUAGAAAUCAAAUUUCAUAAUUUUUUGACUUCAUUUGCCUAGUAAAUGAGUAGGCUCAAAAUGAAUGGCUGAAAAUAAAAAAAUUCCAUAAAAAACUAGUGAUAAAGGAAUCAAAUUUCAAAUCGAAAGUAUUGUUUUUACUCUUGAUGUCAAGUAGAAUUUUCUAUUAAAUAUUUAUAUAAUUUGGAUACUUCUACACCGUUGAACUUUAAAAACGUGCCACAUCAGCCGUUAAAAUAGUCAUUUUUGAGACCCUAUAAUCGCUUAGUAAAUAACGUCGAAAAAUUAUGAAAUUUGGUUUCUAGAUAGUUUUAAUAACGUAGAUUAUACUUAACGGAGCCGAUCGUCGAAUCAAAUAUCCGAUCAUCAAAAAUAAUUUACAAGCACGGAGGUCCUCGUAUCGAAAGUACGGGAGACGCACUCCAAUUUUGUAUGUUGGACCGAGUAUGGCAUUGGCUUGUAUGGGCUAUCACUAAUUUAAAAAAAAUGCACAAACAGAAAAUAGCAAAAAUAAAAAAUAAAAAAUAAUUACACAAAAAAAUGCGGGGAUUUACGUGGUUCAAUAACUUGUCUACACGGAAAAAAAAUGAGAAAAAUAUAUCUUUUAUAUGACAAAAUUAACUACAUUAUAAUCUCACAUUUUUAUAUUUCUCUCAAAUUAAAUAUAAGAGCUUUAUGAUUAUUACUCCUUUUGUUAAAUAUAAAAAUUUUUAACACCACUUUAUAUCAGCUUAAGAUCAUUUGUUUUACAUAUAUAGUAUGAGAGUAGGAUAUUCUGAGUUUCAAAUCAUGCCAGACUCUCAAUAUUAUUAAUUUUUUUUUAUUAAUAAAUUCAAACCCACGUUAUGACCUACAGAAAAUCUAUAAAAAUCGUUCUCUAUCAAUUUAAACUUUUAGAGUACAACAAUCCUCUCACAUUACUUGGCCCUUAAUCUCCUGUACAUAACUUUUCCAAAAUGCCAUAGGCUUAAUAAAAACAAAAUUAAAAUGCAUCCGCGUGUUUCGUGUGUACAUAAACUAUACAUGCAUUAUUCUUUUAAUUAGUGCACAUGCACAUAUAGAAUGGCAAUUAAAGUCAAAUCGAACUACUCCAAAACGCCAUAGGCUUAAUAAAAAUAAAAUUAAAAUGAGCGCAUCCGCAUCUUUCACGAGUAAAUUAAAAUGCAUCCGCAUCAAUCAUGCAUGCCACUACCGUCCAAAGAUGCUCAUUCACGCUUAAAAGAUUUGGUAGAUCCUGUGCACCAUGAAUUAGCUGAUAUAUAUUUAUAUACAUGUCUAUUUUGUAUUUUAAAUUUAUGGGCAAAUAAAUAUCUUUAUAUUUUAUACUUACAUUCAAAAUUUGCUACAUCUAAACAUUUUUUUUUUAACAAAAAAAAGCCUUGAAGCUAUCAGCUACACAAUCAUGUAAUCCUACAGGUGGCUUUCUAAUGGCCAAAUCUACUGCACUUAUUUUUUUUUUUUAAGAGAAAAGUUGUAUGCCAUUCGUUGGAAGUGUAAAAUAAUUAGACUUUUAACUUAAGACCUCAAAUACCAAUUGUCAAAUUUUUUCCUACUUGUGUUAGGACGAUCGAUUAUUGUGCUUAGUCUUAGAUUUUUCCGUUUAUAUGGUAAUAGUCUAAAUGCAGAGUGACCUUAGAUCUUCUCACCUUUAUAAAUUAAAGCACCAACAAUAAGUUCCACAUAGAGAGAGAAAUAGAGAGAGAGAGAGAGAAAUAGAGAGUGAGAGAGAACAUGGAGAGGAUGUUUGUAGUAGCUUUACUACUUCUCACAACACAUGCUGUUUUAGCCAUCGCGGCCGGCCCCUCCGUUAUCAUCGUCGGAGCCGGCUUUUCCGGUAACUAGCUAGCCUAAAUAUAUAUAUAAAGAAGAGAUCUAACUCGACAAAUGAAUGUACAAUCCAGUUGCGGCACCAAGGACUUCGAUCGAUAUAUAUAUCACUUUGUUUUUCCAACGUGUUCAUAAGGUAUUUCGGCGGCGAAGACGCUAUCGGAUGCCGGGAUCAAGGACUUUCUCAUUCUGGAGGCGACGGACCACAUCGGCGGCCGCAUCCACAAGACCAACUUCGCGGGGAUCAACGUCGAGAAGGGCGCGAACUGGGUCGAGGGUGUGAACGGCACCGAGGUGAACCCCAUCUGGGUCAUGGCUAAUGAGCUCAAGCUAAGAAGGUUCUACUCCGACUACGAUAACAUCUCCUCCAACACCUACAACCAAGAGUGAGUACUUGCAUGUAUAAUUAUUAAGGACUUUGCACGGCAAUGUACUUCUCUUUUGUUUUUUUUUUUUCUAGGGGUCCUUGGAUUAUUACUUUGUUGAUGUUGAUGGUCCUUUAUUCUUUUCUCUUUUUUCUUUUUUUUUUCUUUCUAAAAUCGGUGGAGGGGUGGGCUGUACGGGAGUUCGGAGGUGGGGAAGGCUAUCGAGGAGUCGGAGAGCAUCCACAGCGACGGCGAGAAGCUCUCGGCGAGGCUGCCGCCAAGCGGCCGCAGCGACAUCUCGAUUUUGACAAUGCAGCGCCUCAAGAACCAGUAGAUCACCGUUCCUGUGGCCUCUAUAUAUAACAACUCAACCUUUCUCUUUACAUCUCUAAUAUUUAUAAAUUAGUAGCUUAAUUGCUUCUCUUUCUGUUUUUUUUUCAAAAAUUUUUUUAUAGAUCCAGUUCAUAUUUUUAUAAGUCUUACCAAAAUGCCUUUAUUCUAUCUCUUCUAUUUUUCUCUCAUCCCUCUCGCCUCUUUAGAUGCCGUUGUUCUUGUCGUUCUCGAUGUUGCCCCCUUCCUCUCCCUUCUCUUCCUCCUCCUUUUUCGUUCUCCGCCUCCAGGAUAUGGACAUGAGGGCGAUGAUCUCAAAGGGUUUCCUCUUGACAACGGUGGGACGGAGGUCGAAAAGGCCGAGGUUGCGAUGGCAACAAUGUGUUCGCGAUGGAGGAGGAGAAGGAAGAGGAAUGAGAGAUUGAUGUCUUCCUCCUCAUUUUCUCCUUCUUCUUCUUCUUCUUGUUCGUGUUCUGUGUAGUUCUUUUAAUAUUAAAGAUAAUAAAAAUAUUACAUGAUUUGACUAUUUAUUAUAUCUUUUUAUAAAUAUAAAAAAUUUAUAAAAUAGUAUAAUUUACUGUUAAAUAGUAUAAUAUAUAGUCAAACUUUUGAAUGUAGGUUGUAUGAUAUUUAUGGUCUCAUAUUAUUUGGUCUAAAAAAUUAUGUCCACUUUUUUCGUCAUUUAAUUUAAACACAGCCACAUAUAUGCAUAUUAAUUUGCAAAAUGUUAUUGAAUCUAUUUGUAAGGAUCUCCAAACUCAGCUUACUCGACUAAGUUUUGAGACUAAUCGAUAUAAAAAUUGUAGAUUUAGAGUCAAAUCUGGUCAAAUCUCGGCCGAGUGACAUAAAAUUCAGAAUCUGAGCGGUCCGCUAAAUUAUAUAUAAAUAGUAAAAGUAUUGAGACAUAAAUAUAUGAAAAGUACAAAAUAGUAAUACCGAAUGUUUUUACCAUGGACAAAAGUUAAUAAUUAAAUAACUGUAGAACCCUCUAUUUAGGGUGUAUAUCUAUGGCGUUUUGAACUAACUAGCUAAUGUACGGUUCUGCAAUUUGCAUGCAUGAUAUGUACGUACGUAACGCAGUGUUCCGACGAGUGCACUGGACAUGGUGGUGGACUACUACAGCUACGACUACGAGUUCGCAGAGCCGCCGCGGGUGACGAGCCUGCAAAACACCGUCCCGCUGCCGACCUUCGCCAGGUUCGGUGAGAGUGUCUACUUCGUCGCCGAUCAGCGCGGCUACGAGAGCGUCGUCUACCACGUCGCUCACCAGUUCCUCAGCACCGACAAGGCCUCCGGCGCCAUUAACGACCCCAGGCUCAAGCUCAACAAGGUCAGGACCUGGGCCUCCUCCCUCUUUUUCUUCAUUUGUUUGCUUAUUUAUUUGUUUAUUGUUGUUAUAUUUUUCUUUAUUGUUGUUGUUGCUGCUGCUGCUAUUUGUGUUUACAUAGGAAGGGUAAGGGUAAAUUAUCAGUGUUGUUGGUCUCAAACUAUAUUGGGCGAGUGAUGCUAUAUUAUUAUUACUAGUGAAGGCCCGCGCUUCGCGGCGGGACAUUUAUGUAAUUUUUAAAAUAUUUAAAUAAUUUUUUUAAUUUUUUAAUUUUUAAAUCUAAUUUUAAAAUUUAAACUUCAAAAAUGAAGAGAGUAAAAUUUAAAAAAAUGUUUAAAUAGAGAGAAAUAAAAAAAUUAAAAUCUGAAACACCCAAUUAAAAUUAAAAUAAACGCUGUAUGCUAACUAUUAAAUUUAAAAUCUAAAUAUAAAAAUAUAAAAUCUGUAAAUUUAAAUUUUAAAAUCUCUCUCUCUCUCCCUCUCUCUCUUUCUCCCUCUGGCUCUCUCUCUCUCUCUCUUUCUCCCUCUGGUCUCUCUCUUCUCUCUCUCUCUCUCUCUCUCUCUCUCUCUCUCUCUCUCUCUUCUCUCCUCCUAUCGCCCCUCUCCCUCUCUUCUCUCUUCCCCUCUCUCCCUCAGUCCUCUCCCCACCCCACCCCCCCCGCCCCCCCAACCCGCUUGCGCCUACCCGAGCCCCGCGCCCGUGCCUGCCCCUCGCGCUCGCCUCCGCCCUGUUUGCCGCCACGCGCCGGUGCCCGCGCCCGGCGCCCGCCUGCAGGGAGGCCCUAGCCCGCGCGCGGGUCAGCGCGGAGCUCGCCACUGCGCCAGCGACCGCGCCGCGCGCCCCCUCGCGCUGGGGAGAGGAGGAGAGGGGGGGGAGAGAGAGAGGUGGGGGGAGGAGAGAGGACAGAGAGGGAGAGAGACGGGUGUGGGGGAGGAGAGAGGGGUGGGGGGGGCGGGGGGAGAGGGAGAGACAGGGAGAGAGCCGGAGGGGGGGAAAGAAUAGGGAAGAAAGAGGGGGGCCGCGCACCCGCGGAAGCGGGUCGCGUGCAGGGCGCGGCCGCGGCACCCGCCGGUGCGGGGGCCGCGACGUGGGGAGAGAGAGCGGGAGGGAGGUGGGGGAGAGAGAGAGAGAGAGAGAGAGAGAGAGAGAGAGAGAGAGAAAAGAGAGAGAGGCCCCCGUGCGCGGGGGCGCGGGUCGGGUACCCCGGCACCCCCGUGUCCCCUCUCUCUCUCUCUCUAUCUCUCUCUCGCUCUCCGCGCGACCCUCGCGCGGAAGCGCGCCGGGCGCGGUCCCCUUGGGACCCCUCUUGUCCCCCCUUCUCUCUCUUGUCUGCUUCUCUCUAUCUCUCUCUCCCUCUCUCUCUCUCUCUUGCUCUCUCUCCCUCCCUCUCUCUCUGUUCUCUCUCUCUCUCCUCUCUCUCUCUUUCUCUCGCGCGCGAGCUCCCGCAAAAGCGGGGAGCUCGUCGUACAAACUCUCGAUUAUAUAGUUUAUAUAUAGAUUUAUUAUUAUUAUUGUUGUUGUUGUUGUUGUUGUUGUUAUUGUUAUUUUGCUUCGUUAAUUUUACUUUUCAUAUUCGUAUGCAGUGUAUAUCGUUUAAUAAUGUCUCCUCUUGACCGAUGGUCUCUAGAGUAAGUAGCAAAAAAUUUGAUAGUUGAUAUCCGAGAUUUUAAAUUUAAUCCUAAUUAAUUUAAAUUUAGCUAAAUUAUUUUUAAAUAAAUAAACGAAAAACUAGCAUGUUAUCUAUCUCUUAAAAAAAUUUAAAAAAAAAGUCUCCUUUGAAUUUUGGCAUGUGAAAGAGCGAUAGAUCCACAUGGCACUCCUCAACUUACUGCUAAGAAAGUACCACUCAACACUAUACACACAUAUAUAUAUAUAUAUAUAUAUAUAUAUUUAUAUAUAUAUAUACUAUAUAUAAAAGCACGUAUAUUUAAAUUUGGGUCUGUCGACAGACCCAUUUUUUGGCGGAAAAAUUAGCGCCCAUUUUCUUCUUUCCGUACGAAAAAUUUUAAAUAUAAGAAUAAAAAUAGAAAUAAAAACAGUAAUCAAUACGUAAGUUCUCUAUAACAGAUUAGAGAUCUAAAAAUCCUAAAAUAUAAAUUUUUUUAUUUAAUUUCAAAAGUAAAUUUUUUAUAACAGAUUACGAGUGUGAAAAUCCUAUAAAAGAUAUUUUUCUAUUUUAUUUUAAAAUAUCUUUUUUAGAUAUUAUCUAUUUAAUUUCAAAAUAUAUAUUUUUUUAAGAUAACGGAUUUUAUUUUUCUAUUUAAUUUCAAAAAUUUAUUUCCUAACAGAUUUUAUUUUUCUAUUUAAUUUCAAAAGUAAUUUUUGCAUUAGAGAUUAUUGUUAACUAUUUAUCAUUUAAAGCAUAUCUUUCUUAAUAGCGUGAUUUAUUAUUUUAAAUUUUUUAGAUACAUAUUUGGCAAUCAUAUAAAAUAUGGCCUAAAAUUAAAAAAUAAUUUAAAAAAAUUAUAACUUUUUCUAAUAAUUAUUACGGGUAUUUGCACGUACAUUUUACUAGUAUAUAUAUAUAUAUAUAUAUAUAUAUAUAUAUGGUUGGUGAGAUUGUUGUUUACAGUGACUCGAUUGCGUUUGUAAUGUUAUAUUCCACUCAAUGCCAAAGGACAAUUAUUACCCUCACACUAUAUGCCUCCAUUCAAAAAGGUCAAAAUCUAAUAACAUCAAUAAUUUAAUAUUAUUAAUAAUAUAUUAAUCUAAUUUUUACUGUACAUAUAGAAUGGUUUGAUUCAAAAUUUAUAGAAUAUUUUAAAAAUAUUAUACAUUUUAUAUUUGAAAUGUUAAAUUUAUUAUUAGUUUCAAGCCACUUGGGUUGGAAGGAUGAUAGAAACUAAUAUUUUUUAUUAAUAAAUUAUUAAUUAUUUUCAUCAACUAUACAAAUAAAAAUAAGCAAUGUUGGUGGUACAUCCUUUUGGAGUGUAGGAUAUACGCCCCAUCCUUGAAUGGAUGGGAUGUAUCUACAAGAAGCAUUUUCCAAUAAAAAUAUUUUCUAAUUCAUAACAAUUUAAUAUUUUUAUCACCUAAAAAUUUAUAAUAAUUGUACUAAUUUACUAAUGAUCUUUUACAACUAUUUAAUUGUAAUUAAACGAUAAUAGUUUAAAUAUUUUCAAUUAAAAAUAUAAAAAUUAUUAAAAUAUUAUAAACCACGAAGCAAAGGGUCUUAUUUUAUUGCUAUCCAGAGAGCAUUGCUCUUUGAAUAAAUUUUUAGGCUUAAUUGCAUAUAACUCUCUGUAAAUAUAUUAAAUAGUAGAUAUGUCCUUAUAAAAUUUAACUUUUUAUAUUUAUUAUUAUAAAAGUUUUACCGUUUUCAAAUAUAUGUAUAUUGUUAAGAUUCGUUAGAUAAAUAUAGCUAAACAUAGGUAAAUAUUUAUCCUAAUUAGUGAAUGAGAUAAAUUGAUCUUUUUACUCCUUUUAUAUUGUAAUAAUCCUAUUCACUUAUAAAAAUAAAAGAUGACCGUUGAAAUUUUUGGGAAGAUAUUUAUGCAUAAUUCUAUAAGUUAGGACUUUUAAAAGAACAUAUUUAUGAUGGCAAAAAUAUUAUUUUAUUUAUUUUUUGUUAAAAAGUAAAUAGUGUUCUAACGAUAAUAAAUCAGAAGAAUAAAUAUAAAUAUCACUGAACUUUUAUCAAAAUAAAUAUAAAAAAUUAAACUUUAUAGAGAUAAAUUUAUUAUUCGAUAUAUUUACAUUGAGGUUAUAAUUAACCCUAUUUUUAAUUGUAAGAGACUUGUAGUCCAAUAAAGAUAGGAUUUAUAAAAUAUAAAAUGGUGUCACAGUUGCUUCGAGAUCUAUGAUUUUCUUUUCAUUUUUUAUUUUGGAGAUGCUUAUCUGGUUGGUUUUCGUGUCUCCUAUCUAUAUAAAUAAAAGGAAAAGAUACGUUCAUACUUGUUGUAGAUUUUUUUUUAAAAAAAAAGCUAAAGUGUAAAGUUUAGUAGAAUACUAUAGGAAGAAUAUUGUUAGAAGCACAUAUGUCUCCGUAAUUCCAAAUUAUUUUUAGAUAAUAAGAUAUCUUAAUUAAUUAUUGCUAUGUUAGAUAUAAUUUAUACUGUUAAAAUAUUUAAAAAAUAAAUUUCAUAAUUUUUUGUAUUACUUAAUAAUCAAGAGAUUUCGAAAUUGCUAAUUUGUAAGGCUGAUGUGACAUGCUUGUAUAUAGAGUUUAACAGUAUAAAAGAAUAAAAAUUUGAUAAAAUUUUUAUUAUUUUUUUAAAUAAGAUAAUAACUGUAAUUAGAAACUUAAGUGUUUUAUUAUUAUCAUUUAUGAUAUUUUUAACUUUAGUCGUUUCUCUUUAGAGUAUUGGUUCACUAACCAAAUAAAUUGAAAAGUUAUAAGAUUUAAUUUUCAAAUACGUUUAAUAGUGUAAAUUAUGUAUGACAGCGUUGACCGUCUAGUUCAAUAACCUAUCAUUAAAAAGUAAUUGGAAGUACAGAGUACAGAGACCUCCGUGCCUCAUUAUAUGCUAGCUGUACUCAAAUGAAAAAAUGUUUUCUUGAUUUAUUGCUAUUUGUAUUUUAUCAAACUGGAAGGAUCAAAACAGCAAGGAUAGUUUAUACUAUUGUCCGCUUAAGUAUUAUUUGGUUCGAAUAUAAGUAAGAACUGUCUAUUUCAGGAUAGGUAUAAGUCCGGAUAUAAGCAAGAACUAGAAGUGGGCUUCGUUGGCCCGACAUGAAUCUGGCCUUUUUUUUUUUUUCGAGCCGAGUAUGGCCCGAUCGACUAGUCCUCGGGCUCUUCAAUCUGUUUAAUUAAACGGAUCCAAAUGUGGCCCAAGAAUAUGGCUAUAUAAUAUUAUUCGAUUUUGGUAUUGACCAAAAAAUUCAUUCAUUCUAGUUCUAGUAUUAUUUAUUGACCGAAAUUGAUCAGCUAUAAUAAAUGUAAUCUCUUUCUAAAAACAUUAGAUGUUUUAAUAUUCCUUUUCGAUCCAAAAUAUGAAGUUUUACUUUUUGGACUUUUGCUCCUCUCAAAUUUGCUUUAAAUUUUGAAUUUAAAUUUAAAUUUAAACAGGUGGUGAGGCACAUCAGUCAGUCCUCGACUGGUGUGACUGUCACAACAGAGGAUGGGUCGGUGUACAAAGCAGACUACGUCAUGGUUUCUGUCAGCAUCGGGGUCCUCCAAACUAAGCUCAUCAAAUUCGAACCAGACUUGCCGGUAAGUUGCAUAAACACAAAAAGGAAUCAAACUACUCACAUGUUUUUAAGUUCCAAACAGAAGUUUUGAGCUUUGAAUUAUACUAUCAUUUCAUUGGCUAUUUGUAUCUUAAAAACUUAUAUCGAAGUGUACGUUUUUGAUAUACCAGAGUUGGAAGAUCUUGGCGGUAUAUCAGUUUGAUAUGGCCGUCUACACCAAAAUUUUCCUUAAAUUCCCAUACACGUUCUGGCCUGAAGGGACAGGGACGGAGUUCUUCCUUUAUGCAAGUGAACGGAGGGGUUACUAUCCUGUGUGGCAGGUAAAAUGUUAUCAAAAUAUAUGAAACAAUCGAUUUUCUUGAAAAGGUUAAUCGAACACUUCUCCUCACGUCUGAUCUCAAGAUUUUCUAGUAAGCCAAAGACAAGGGGUUAGAUUAAAUUCAAGAAAGUUUUGAAGUGUUCUUAGUUUGGUUUAGACCUGGCAGUAAGUUAAGAAUUGCGCGCGUGGUUUGCAGCAAUUUGAGAAGCAGUACCCAGGAGCGAACGUGCUGCUGGUGACGGUGACGGACGAGGAGUCGAGAAGGAUCGAACAGCAGUCGGACGAGGAGACGAAGGCGGAAGCCAUGGAGGUGCUGAAGAAGAUGUUUGGGCCCAACAUCCCUGAUGCCACGGACAUACUGGUGCCCAGAUGGUGGUCUGAUAGGUUCUACAAAGGCACCUUCUCAAAUUGGCCCAUCGGUGUCAACCGCUACGAGUACGAUCAAAUCAGGGUAAUAUAUAUAUACAUAUAUAUAUAAACACAAAAUCUAUCCUAUACAUAUUUUUUACUUACAUAUUUUAGUUUCUGAAUUUUCUUUUAAAAAAAUACAUAUAAUUAAUACAGUAAUUUAGUCUCAGGGUAUAAAAAGAAUAUAAUUUUUUCAUAACAUGAAGCUUGUCAUAAUUAAAUGAUUGAUUCACUAAUCCCAUGGUGUGUGUGCGCGCCUGCUUGUCAUAAUUAAAUGAUUGAUUCACUAAUCCCAUGGUGUGUGUAUAUAUAGAGGCCGGCUGGGAUACUCUCGAUAGCACCAAGAAUUUGGUGCUAUCGAGUUUUCCACCGUUAGAUUUAAUCUUUUGAUUAUUUUUAUCCGUUAGAUUGUACUAUUCAAUCAACCACUUACUCAACCCUAGGGGGCUCACAUCAUCCUAAGCACACAUUUUUUAAUCAAAGGGCUAAAAAAUUAAUAGCACCAAUAGUUUUGUACUAUUGAUAGUAUUCCAGCCUAGUUCUCUCUCUCUCUCUCUCUCUCUCUCUCUCUCUCUCUCUAUAUAUAUAUAUAUAUAUAUAUAUAUAUAUAUAUAUAUAUAGUGUAAAAUUAUUAUGCUAUCGAAAUUAUAGAGAAUUUGAUACUUCCGAUUCUUUCACCUUUGGAUCAAGAAUUGUACGGUUGGAAUGAUUGCGGUCCCCCCUACGGUUGAGUGGUGGUCCCUAUAGGAUAAUAGUAUUAAUCCAAAGGUUAGAAAUGAUUAAAGAGACUGAUCUAAGUAACGAAAAGUCGAAAAUACCAUAUUCUCUAUUACUUCCGAUAGCAUAGUAUAUAGUUCGACUAUGUUGCUUCCGAAAGUAUAAAGAAAUUUGUGUGACUUUUUUAAUAUUUGGAUCAACCCUUCAAUCAUUUCUGGCUCUGAGAUUACUAUUAGUCCUCUUACUAGACCACAAAAUCCUAGCAGGGACCACUAAACCUUGGGGGAACCGUUUUCGUUCCAAUCCUAUAAUUUUUUAUUCAAGAAACAAAAAGUUAGAAGCGACAAUUUUUUUAUACUUUUGAAAACAUAGUAGCUUUAUACUAUAUAUCUAUAUAUAUAUAUAGAGAGAGAGAGAGAGAGAGAGAGAGAGUUAAGUAAUUUCCAAAUAUUUAUUUGAAUUUUCUGGUCUGGUUAGGGCUGUCAGAGAAGUUCUAGAUUACAGCAGAGUUAAUAAAAAAAAAUACUCAAUAUCUCUUUGUCACAUUCUACCCAGCUACAUUUUGCUAUAAUAAAAAUUUCAAAUUAAAAAAUUUCUGUUUUUUUAUAACCUAAAAUAAAUCUUAUUUCAGCUUAUCUUGCAUUUAACGAAAGCUUCGACUAGUAGUUUACCAAACAUCCAUCUGCUGCUUCUGGGAACAGAUAAAAUAUUCACAAACGACUAAAUUGACUAGCUCAAAAUGCAUCAGUACUUAAAGUGUACAUGUGAGAUAUUAAUAGUGCUAUUUUGGUGCUCCAUUUGUAGGCACCUGUUGGGCGGAUUUACUUCACUGGGGAGCACACAAGCGAGCAUUACAAUGGCUACGUUCACGGAGCAUAUCUUGCAGGCAUAUACAUACACACAAAAUGUUUCAUGUUUGACCAAAGACAUUUUGUUAUUUCUCUACUGAGUUGGGAUGUUAAUACACUUGCGCAAAUUACAACUAAUUGCAGGCAUUGAUUCUGCCAACAUCAUGAUCAAGUGCAUCAAGCACGGUUUCUGCAAGGUCCAAAUCAAGGACAAGGACUCCUAAGUUUCGAAAGGUAAUUGAUGUUCUCGAUCGCGAGUUUCUACUUUUCUAUUUAGCUUGGUGUCUGCAACAGUUUCUUCACUCAACGACCGUCCCUAGAUCAAGUGGCAAAAGGCUUGUUGGUUGGUAUCCGAGGCCUAAAUUCGAAUCCUAGUUGAUUCACAUUUCUAGCUAAAUUUAUUUCUGAAUGAAAUAAACGAAGUGGAUAGCGUGCUACCUAUCUCUCAAAAAAAUAAAAUAAAAUAAAAAAACAGUUUCUUCACUUCAGAAGUAGAGCCAAUAGGCCUUGCCUAGCUAUGCAAGAAUGCCUAGAAAAUGAGUUUUUCAGCCCAACCAGGCGUGAGAUUCAAAUUAAACUACUUUUAGAAAAGGGUUGAUUGCACAUAGCUGCUACUUUUUCAUAUCUAUUUAAUUGUAAUUGUUGAAGAAAAUAAUUUCAAUUAGAGAUAAAUUUACGCAUGAAAUUAUAAGAAAUAAUUUUUUUCUUUAAGACUUGUACAUAUAGUUUUCAUCUAUAUACAACUAAACAAAUUACUUCUAUCCAAAUAUAUAUACAAGGUUAUAAUUGUCGUAUAUUUAAGUAUAUGUAUUUAAAACUAUGCCGUAUUUACAGUUGCGUCAGACCAAACGACUCUUUUUAGGGGUGGAAACGAGCCGAGCUCGAACGAGCUUACCUCGGCUCAAAUUCGGCUUGAAAUUAAUUUCGAGCUUAAAUUUAAGCUCAAGCUUGGAUUGAAAUUAAUUCGAGCCGAGCUCGAGCGAGCUUAAUUUCGAGUCGAGCGAGCUCGAGCCCUAAACGAGCCGCUUGAAAUUCUCAACAUCAUACGAUCAAUAGUUUAAUUUGUAUAGAACAGUAUUUAUAAUUUGAUACAAAAAUAUGUCUAAUAGUUCAAAGUACAAAAUAAUUAUAUAAAAUACAGUAUUAUAAUAUGAAAAAAAUAAUUUAUGAGUUGAAUAUCUAAUCUUUUCAGCCUCACAUGUCUUUUCUUCUGCCUUCAAUCUUCAUAUUAUUUAUUUUAUUUUCAUUUAUGCAGUCAAAAAUAAAUAAAUUAUAUAGAUAAAUAUGGAUAAACUAUCCAAUCAUAUAUAACAAAAAUUAAAAUUUAUAUGAAUAAUAAUUUUUACUUUAAAAAUAUUAUGUAUAUUUUUCUCAAGCAUACAAUUAAUAGCAAGGUAGGCAACGGCAGCAUAUACUGUUACUUGGUAACUUGGGAGAGCUUCCGACUGGCCGCUUAGGGUGAGAGACAGAAAAAGAGAAAGAGAGAAAUAUAUUGAAAAAUUUAGAGUUCUGUGAAAGAAAGAAGAAAGGAAAAAUGUAUAAAUUUAGUAAAAUUUGCUUUUUUUUUUUAUUGUCUAUUUGGUUUGUUUUAUGGGGCAACAACAUUGGCCAAUUUUAAUUAAACUUAAAUUAUUCACUCAGCCUAUAUAUAAUUAAAAUAUAUUAUAUUAAUAUUUUUAAAUAUAUAUAUAUAUAUAUAGUGUAGAACUAUCAUGCUAUCGAAAAUAUAGAGGAUUUGAUGUUUUCGAAUUUUUGACCAUUUGAUUAAAGAAUUAUAUGGUUGGGAUGAUUGCAGUCCCUCCUAGGAUUAAAUAAUAUCCCUAGGAUUGAGUGGUCCCUACAAGAUAAUAAUAGUAUUAGUUCAAAAAAAAUGAUUAAAGGGGUUGAUCUAAGAAUCAAAAAAUUGAAAGCAUCAUAUCCUCUAUACUUUCAAUAGCAUAGUAGUUCUACUAUAUAUAUAUAUAUAUAUAUAUAGUAGAACUACUAUGCUAUCGAAAGUAUAGAGGAUACGUAUAUAUAUAUUCGAGCUUUUCGAGCUUUUCGAGUUUUUCGAGCCUAAUUCGAACGAGCCGAGUAAUACUCAAGCUCGGCUUGAAAUGAAUUUCGAGCCUUUUUUUUUGUUCAAGCUCGGCUCAUUUAAUUUCGAGUCGAGCUCGAGCGAGCCAAAUAUCGAGUCGAACGCGAGUCGAACGCGAGCCGGCUCGCUCAUUUGCCAGCCCUAGCUCUUUUGUCUUUAUUUAGAAGGAUGAAAAGCUGUUGUGAGGUACUGCAUAAAUAAAUAGGCCCAAAAAGAAGAUUUUGGAUGACCACAUAUUUCAUUUGUAAAAUAAAUUCCUCAUUUAGUACCACAUUUUAGUAUGGUAGUGCAUGAUAAUUGCUGUGAAAUUUAAUUAUCUUUCACUUCUCUUUGCAGGUAAUAUGAUCAAUAAGAUGCCAUAAUAUUGGAAACGCAAAAAGCGUCGUAUCUCCCUGAAAUUUUAUUCUGAAAUUACGCUUCUUCCAUUGUAUCUUUUAUUAGUUUUUUCCUUGGAAGGACAUUAAAUUGGAACUUAAUAAACAUGCAUGCUUGAUUAUUGUCUACGCAAUUAUAUCGAAAGAGUAAUGCCAUUAAAAAAAAACUGAUUUAAUUCUUAGAUUAUUAAGUUUGGUCUUUUUCACUGCUUGAAUAUAAUCAGAUUCAGUUAACCGGCCUGUCUGUUCCUCUUAAAAUUGGAUCUGUUGAUAUCGCUUCCACACUCAAAACCAAAAUUUAAGGAGAAAACACAUCUAACCUAUGAUCAAGAUUCAAGAAUAGCACAUGACUGCUAUAGAAAACAAGCUAUAGUUGGAUUCCUUGAUUCUCAAGUUGUAUUAGGCUGAAUAUAUAUUAGAUGCAAGUGUACAAAGUAUUUGUUUAAACAUAUGUGAAACAAUAGAAUGGUAACAAAAUUUAAAAUCCCCUACACUCCCCCUCAACCUAUGCAGCUGGAUAGACAACGCAUAAGUUGUCCUGAAAAGUUUCAAAUUUGAAAGUAGAAAGACUAAGGGAUUCAAGUGCAAAUAGCAGGCUGUAUCGACGGAAAAGAAAUUGUAAAAUGGAGAUAUCUCUAUAUAUUUUGUACCAGUAUGCUGCACUGGAUUAGUGCCCAUAUAAGUUGUACUAAUAUUACCACAGUAUACAUGAGACAUGUUUGGUGUUCGUAACAUGUAACUCAUAGAGUAGCUAAGCCAACCAAACAACAUCAGCAACAGUUCUAGCCAUAGCCCUAUAUUCAGCUUCGACGCUUGAGCAAGAAAUAGCAAGUUAUUUCUUAGAGACCAUGAAAAAGAAUGAGCAUCAAAAUAACGGGAUUGAAUGCUGACUUUGAUGGCAAGUGACCUAGUAUGUAUUGGAAAAAUGCUUGAAGAGUUAGUGAUAUUUGCAGUCAAAAGAGGAUAUCUUAGUGAGAUGAUCCAUGUAAAUAAUAUAAAUACGUUUUACAACCUGCAUAUAAGGAGUUCUUUUAAGUAGGAUUCCCUAAUUCCCAGAUUGUAUUAGAUUGAAUAUAUAUUAGAUUCGAGUGUAUAAAAUAUCUUUCUAGACAUAUAUGAAAUUACAGAAUGAUGAGAUAUUUAAAAUUUUCUACUACUUCUUCAAUUGAAUGUGGCUCAAAGAUUAGCACUAGAAGGGAAAAGAAAACGAAAGGUUUGGUGUUGAUGCAAAUAUCAUUAUCUCUUGAUAGAUAAGUGAAAGAAGAGAAACAAACCAAGAAUGAUUAACUAAAUCCUCCAAGCUGUACAUUAGUGCCCAGAACAGAGAUCCUGCCUGAACUUGGACCACCACAUCAGCUGUGGACUGUAAGCACAUCUUGCCUUAUUCCAAAUUAUCGUGUGCAUAUAUAUAUAUAGGCCAUGGCUACUAUACUAUUAUGAGUAUUGAAGCCCUCGUACUCAUAAGUUGUUUUUGAUGAUGGAGCUUCCGAAUCGACGAUCCACUCCGUUAAAUAUCAGCUAGAGUAUUUAAAACUUCUAGAAAAUAAAUUUCGUAAAUUUUCGAAAUCAUAAUAAAGUCCAUCAAGCGGACAUAAAAUGAACGGUCAAAAUCGAACGACGUCCUAAAAAUGGAUGAUCGGAUCCUUCAAUUCAAGAUCAGAGUUAUUGAUCUUUAUCUAGGUAGUGAAUAGAAUUUUCUAUCAAAUAUUCAACAAAUUUUAAUUCUUUUACGCCGUUAAACUAGCAAGUAUCUCAUACCGGCCGUUAAAAAUUAUAAAUUUUGUGACCUCUUGAUCGUGAGGUAAAUGAUGUCGAAAAAUUAUAAAAUUUGAUUUCUAGAAGUUAUAAAUGCUAUAAAUAACGUUUAACGGUGUGGAUCGUCGAUUCGGAAGCUCUAUCAUCGAAAACGACUUAUGAGUACGAGGGCGAUCGUACUCAUAAUAGUAUAGUAGCCGGACCCUAUAUAUAUAGUAGGGCUAGAAUACUUGUAAAAGUAUCAUGGGGGUGAUACUUGUGUGUUUUUAGCCCUUGGAUGGAGAGAUGUGAGGUUGAGAUGAUGGUGGUAGGUAGUGGUAGGUGGUGGUAGGUGGAAUAGUAUUUAAUCCAAGGACUAUUAAUAAUCAAAAAGUAAAUCUAAUGACUUAAAACCUAAUAGCACCAUGAUGGUGAUACUUGUAAAAGUAUCAUAACUCAGCUCUCUCUCUCUCUCUCUCUCUCUCUCUCUCUAUAUAUAUAUAUAUAUAUAUAUAUAUAUUGAAGAUGAGGAUUGAAACCUGAAAUUCAAUAAACAUCAAUAUAUUGAAAUCAGAGUUUCUUUUUUUCUUUGGAAGGUGUGGAUUGAACAGAAAAACACAAUGAAGCGGAGGUUGUUUAUAGGGCGGUCCACCACUGACCUGGUGCACCAGGUGGACGCAACAAAAGGUAAAGCGAGGUACUUUAGUCCUGUAUCGACUGUAGCGAAGAACGGAAGGGGCGAGGAGAGUACAAGAGGAGGCCUCCAUGCGUGAUUCAAACUCAUACCUUUCUCGGCCUUUUGGCUAAGAUCAAGUGUAGUUUCUGUUCUUAUCAGUUUAAUAUCUGAUACGUGGGCCAUGUGCCCACCUUGAUAUUAAAUUAAUUUUUUGUGGGAGAGGGCCCACCCACGGUAGCUUGCUACCGGGGCCCUCGUGUGUUGCCCUUGCGUUGCACUACUGCUCGGGCUUGGCGCAUCCCUACUAAGUCUAAAUGCUCAAAUGCUUUUAAUUUAUUAAUUAUUUGCUUAUUGUUCUUGCGUAGCGUGAAAGUUUUCUUCAAAAUAUAUUUUUUCGUACAAUUGUGGAGUGGGCUAUUUUAUGAAUCUGAAUGGAAAAACUAUUUACACGCAAGAUCAAAACUAUGGCGAUAAUUCAUUUUCCUCUCUACUUCCUCUCAAUAAUGUGUGAAACAGUUGGGCAAUGACAUAAUAGCAAGUUAUGGGCUAAGAGGUAUAGUGAUGCAAACGGGGCUGACUUAGGGGCGGGAGUCCCCUCUCGCGUCCCGUUCCGAGUAUCAAAAUCGCACCUGCCGUCCACCCGGAAUAUAUGAUGGGUUAAGAAAUAUAUAUCUCAUAAUCCGUUUCGCCUCACAAUCCAUUUUCUGCCGGUGCUCCAAAUCCUCCCCGUCAAUUUUUUUUUUAAAAAAAAUUAUAAUAUUAUUAAUAUUUUAUAAAAUAUAAAUUAAUAUUUUUUUACUAAUAAUGAAUAAUGUUACUAAGUUAUGUAUAUAAUAUUAAUAACAUCAAUUAUAAAAAGCAAAAUUCAAAAGUUUUAAACACAUGAGAAAUGAGAGCACCAAUUUAUUUGUAUUUUGGACUUUUUUUGUAAAUAUAUUAUAUUUUAGAAAUAUUCUUUAAAAUAUAAAUAAUUUUUGGUGUGCAUUCCAAGUGAAUCAUGGUAGGGCAGAUUCAAGACGGAGCAAAAUUUUUUUCGUUUCCUGCCCCGAAUCCGUUUCGGACCAUAAAUAUUACUCUAUUUUCUGUCUCGAAUCCGUUUAUUUAUUUCUAUUUACUGCCCAAUUUGGGACGGACGUUCUACCAACCGGGAUCCGUUUGCAUCGCCAAUAGAGUGGAGAGCUGGUAGUAACACUUAGGAAAACCUUAAUGCAACCAAACAACCUUAAAUGAACCCAAGGACACAUUUCAUUCGUUACGGUAAUAUAAUAUUAGAUUACAACAUAUGUAGGAUUACUAAAGUUGGUUCAAUUUAAAAUUCAGUAAUCAUGACAAUAAAGUGUAUUCUAUUCAAAUUAUCAUUUAUGAUCAUAUUUAAUAUUAUUUUUUAAUAAACUUAAAUUAAUAUAAUUUGUAUUUAAUUAAUUUUAUUAAUAAGCAAUAUAAGACAUAAAUAAAAAAAACUGCACAUGAAAACAAUUUAUAAAGCCAAAUUGGUUAUAACCCAUAGAAGAAUAAAUAAAAAAUAAUCAUAUUACAUAAUAAUAUGAUCAUACAAGAACAAGUAGUACAUUUUAAUUUAAAAUUUUAUUUAUAAGCAAUAUAAUUAACCAAAUAUCCUAAGAAAUGUCUCUUCAGCCCCAGCUUAUUAAAAGACCCAUUUUUCUUAAGAAAUCCACCCCAUGUACAAAAGCCCACCAUUUCAAUCUGAUCUGAAUUUUAUUGUUUCUCGUCUCGGGUAGUGCCGAAAUCCGAAUUUUAUCAACUUUUUGACCCCAAUUCCUCAAAUUAGGAUGAGGGUCUUCUUUAUAUAUCUUUGGAUUUGGCCAUUUGGGCAAAAUUUAUUGUUUUUUGCGUUCUCUUGGGCGUUUUUUCAAACACCUGAUGUGCAAGAUCUGAUGUUUUGAUGGAAUUUAAUAAUUUAGGAAUGUAAUGUGAGUCGUGCUGUGCCCCGAACGGAUUCAGCCUAGGGUUGGCUUGGCCUGGCCUGACCAGGUUACAAAUCCGACCGACCCGUGCCGGCCCGUUUUCUCAGAGUAGAAGGCCUAGCCCGGCCGCUUGGCCUGCCCGGCACGUGCUGUGCCGGGCCAGGCCGGGCUUCGUGCCAGCCUAGUAAAAGGCAUUUUUUUUUAUUUCUUCCCAACCGUCUUUUGUUAAUUUUUUUAAAAUUUUCUUUUUUAGAAAAAGAGAUAACUAAUUUUUAAAUUAUACGUUCUUGACUUUUUUUUUUUUUAUUUACACAAUUAUACCCAACUUUUUUUAAACUCUUGUAACAAUUUUAUAAAUUUUUAAAAAAGCUAAAAUACUAACCAUAAAUUUAACUUUUUAAUAUCAUUAAUUUUUAAUAUUAUAUAAAAUUUAAAACACAGAGAUCAAUAAUUUUAACUUUUCAAUUAUAUUAGAUGUUUUAAUAUAAAUUUUUUAACUUCGGUUUCGUUUGGGAUUGUAGGAAGAUUGUGCUAUGUGCAGUGAGAAAGUACGAUAGAAAAAUGUCCUAUUUAUUACUAUACGUAAUAUUGCGUUCCGCAAAUCGCGAUGAGUCGGUUAUGACAUAUUUUCUGCGGUUCCAUCGGAGAACGCAGAAACAUAUCCUUGUAUACUUUUAUCCCAACUCUAUUUGAUCUAAUAGAUUCAGAUGAGCCUCAAUACCAAACUAAGCAUUACAUUUUUUUUGAUCCAAUAACCAACUUUAAUAAUCAACCGUAACUUUAAUAAUCAAUCGUUCCUAGCACAAGUGGCAAAGGACUUGGUGGUUGGUAGCCGAGGUCCCAAGUUCGAAUCUUAGUUGAUCCACAUUUCCAGCUAAAUUUAUUUUUAAAUAAAAAGAACGAAGCGGGUAGCAUGCUUUCUAUCUCUCUCUCAAAAAAAAAAAACUUUAAUAUAAGAUUAAAUAUUGUGUUGAGAAUGAAAUUUUUGUAAAAAAAGAAUGUUGUUGAAAAGAUUAAAAAAAUUUGUAAAGUAAACUUGAGAUGGAAAAAAAAAUUAGCUAGAAAGUUUGAGAGUAGGAAGAAUUAUUGUUUGUAGAAAAAAAUGAAUGAAUAUUUGUUUGUUGUAAUAAAAUUUAGAAAUUUGUAAAAGUAUUUAUAGAUGUAAAAAAAAUUUAAAUUUUUUUAAAAAAUAAAAAAUAUUUUUAAUCAAAAUGCCUUAUCCAACAGUCAAAUUUUAGAAUGUUAGUGAGGGCAUUGUGGUCAUUUUGACCAAAAAGAUGUCUUUUUUAAUAUUUUUACCCUCUAUGGGCCUGUUUGUUUUAACGGAAGUGGGGUGGAAGUGGGAAAGGGGAAGUGAUAUUCGGUGAAAACAGACCACUUCCGCUGUUUGGUUCACCGUAAUUUUAUUAUCCCCGAAAAUCUAGUUCACCCAAAAUAAAAAAAAUUGACUUCACCCUCCAUGGGGCGAAGUCAAUUUCGGUGAGGUGAAAAGAGGCAAGAGUAGGAAUUAAUGUGUUAGGGCUACCCUCUUCUCUACCCUUUCCUCUCCCGAGUCCCGACCCAACUCCACAUCGUCAUUUUUUUUUUUUCUCAGUAGACACCACAAAAGAAAAUUUGAUCUUGUCUAAAAUAUGAUCAAAUUUGGUUAGGAAAAUUUUAAUAUAUUUUUUGUUUAAUUUGUAUAUUUAGAAAAUGAAGAAAAAUGAAUUUGUUAGAUGUUAAUAAUUUUUUAACUUUAGAAUUUUAUUUGUUGCAUUAUUAUAAUUUAUAUGCAAACAAAUAAUAUAAUUUUUAAAAAUUUUAUUUUAUAAUUAUACAUAUAUAUAUAAUUAUAUACAUAUCUAAUUAUAUUAAUUUUUAUUUAUUAUAAUUUAUUAUUCACUAAGUUACAAAAUAGCCAAUGAUAUCACUUCGGAGGUAGGUAUACCGGAGGUGGAGAGCUAUACUUUUUACGUCAUCUACUUCUUAUCAAACAAACAACAGAACUCGCAGAACUGCACUUCCACAAUUAGAAACAAACAGCAGAAGUGAAUUAAUUUUCAUCCCAACUCCAUUUCAACCCAAAGUCCACUUCCACCCCAAAUUUACUUACGUUGAAACAAACAUGCCCUAUAUAUAUAUAUAUAUAUAUAUAUAUAUAUAUAUAUAUAUAUAUAUAUAUAUAUAUAUAUAUAUAUAGAGAGAGAGAGAGAGAGAGAGAGAGAGUUCGGCUAGGAUAUUAUCGAUAGCAUCAAGCGUUUGGUGCUAUCAAGUUUUCCACCGUUAGAUUUAACCCUUUGACUAUUUUCACCAUUUAGAUUAUACUAUUAAAUCAAUAACUCACUCAACCCCAGGGGGCCCACAUCAUCUUAACCGUUCAUUUUUUCAUCCAAGAGCCAAAAACCUAUUUACACAAAGCUCUUGGUGCUAUUAAUAGUAUACCAGCCUAGGUCUACAUAUAUAUGCUGGGGCUACUAUACUCUUAUGAGUAUAAAACCCCUUGUACUAAUAAAUUUUUAACCGUUGAUUGAUGGGUUGUGUGGUUAGGAUGAUGGUGGUCCCCACUUAGAAUGAUAGUGGUCCCCUAGGGUUGAGUGGGUAGUUGGUUGAAUAAUAUGAUCUAACGGGUGGAAAUGAUCAUAGAAUAAAUCUAAGGGACAAAAACUUAUGAGUAUAAGGGAGCUCAUACUCAUAAAAGUAUAGUAGCCGGACUCUAUAUAUAUAUAGCAUAGUAACCAUGCUAUGCGACGAAUAGAUAAUUGGAGAAAAUAUAGAAAAUAUCGAUAAAAAAAGAGAAAACGACGAUAAAAAAAGCGAUGAUGAGGGGUGUGAUUCAUCAUGUCGAUGAAUGAAAAUAACAGCCGAAGGAAAAGUAAGAGAAAGGACUUGAGCUGGUUCGGUGUGGAGUCCACACUCAACCAUGAAGGAAAAGUUGCCACAUGCCAACUUUAGGAGAAAUAAUGUAUAAUAAAGUAUAUAUACAGAGAGAGAGAGAGAGAGAGAGAGAGAGAGAGAGAGAGAGAGAGAGAGAGAGAGAGAGAGUUGAGUUGGAAUNUACAGAGAGAGAGAGAGAGAGAGAGAGAGAGAGAGAGAGAGAGAGAGAGAGAGAGAAAGAGAGUUGAGUUGGAAUGCUACUAAUAGCAAAAGGACUCCAUUGCCACCCAUUUGUUUUCGAUGAUGGAGCCUCUAAAUCGAUGAUCGACACUGUUGAACAUCAUCUAUGCCACUUGAAACAUCUAAAAACCAAAUUUCAUGUUUUUUCGAUAUCACUUUUUUGUCUAUCAAGUGGAGGCCUCUGUGCUACCAAAUUAUUUUCGAUAAUGCAGCUUCCAAAUCGACGAUCGGCUCUGUUAGACUUGAUCUACACUAUUGAAAGUUUUUGAAAACUAAAUUUCAAAUUUUUUCGACAUUAUUUGACUAGUGAUCAAAAGAUCUCAAAAUUGACAAUUUUAAUGGCCGAUGUGGUGUGUUUGUGAGUUUAACGGUNCCAAAUUGACGAUCGGCUCCGUUAGACUUGAUCUACACUAUUAAUAGUAUUUGGAAACUAAAUUUCAUAAUUUUUCGACAUCAUUUGGCUAGUGAUCAAAAGUCUCAAAAUUGAUAAUUUUAAUGGUAGAUUUGAUGCGUUUGUGAAUUUAAUGGUAUAAAAUAAUUCAAAUCUGAUAAAAUUUUUGUAGAAAAUUCUUUUCACUAUUUAGAGUAAGAUCAGUAACUCUUGUCACGCCCCGAGCUCUGCCAAUUUGGUCGGAUUCGGGCACGUCGGCAGACCGCCGAACGGACAGAGCUUCCCCUGUACGUUUUAGGCGUAACAAUCUAAAUAAUGCAAUACGCGAGGUUCCAACCAGGAACAGUAGCAAAUAUAUAGAUUGCAGAAGUACCAAAAACAUAAAAUGACAACUAUACUAUUACAAGCAUUCAUCUCAAGAUUUUACAUUUACAUAACCACAUAUACCUUUAAAUUAUUACAACUUAUACAAAUUUGAUACAAGUUUGUUUCUUUCAUACUUAUACUCUGAGCUAGACUGCUUCUGGGUACUGCUAUCUCUGGUCUCGGUGGUAGGGCGCUAUCUAUGAAGCUACGCCCUGUCCUCGCGCCGUCGCGCCGCUCACGUACAACCUGUACCCCCAAAACAAUAUGGGGGUGAGAACUAUAUAAAUAUAGUUCCCAGUGGGUACGGCCACCCAAGAGAAGAGCUCGACCCACCAGGUCCAAAGGAGGCAACAGUAGGUUAGUUCAACAAAUAGAUAGAUAGAUAUUUGACUAACCAACAAAUAAAACCAUACCUUGCCUCGCUGCUAUGCAAUAUGCAAUACCUGUAAAUCAUGUAAGUAGAUUACUUGAUUCUACUUUAUAUCAUUAACCAUUCUUUACUUGUAGCCGUUCUCUUCUUUCUUAGUUGUUCUCGUUCAUUAGCUAUUUUCUUUUUUAUUUACUCUUUGUCAAAUUAUGCUCACUGGCGAUUCUUUCCUAAGGUUAUAUUACCUUAGCCAUCUAUGCCACUCGACUCGGUCUUGAGUCAAUCAUCCGCGGAGUACCGCGUCAGGUCAGACUCGAGGUGAAGGACGUCUCACAAACACCUCAGCCUUAAGUCCACGCGACACUAGGUCCAUUACAGGGAGAGGAGAACCGUCGAUCCCCGUGACCCUAAGUCGCUCAAGCUUAACGGGCGAGGAGAACCGUCAAACCCGUUAGCUCAUACCGGGAGAGGAGAACCGUCGAUCCCGUUGAAUCACUACCGGGAGAGGAGAACCGUCGAUCCCGUAGUUCCGAUUCACUUGUUUCAUGGCAUACCGGGAGAGGAGAACCGUCGAUCCCGUUGAAUCACUACCGGGAGAGGAGAACCGUCGAUCCCGUAGUUAUGAUUCUACUCUUGCCAUCACACCAUUCCUAGGGAUUCCGGAACCCACUUUCACAACUUAAGGGUUUACUCUUUUACCCUAUGUCGACGACUUUUCUAGGUCUAUACUAUUCACUUUCUAGUGGUCCUAUUGCCAGUACUAUAAUUCAUAACUUAGUUUACUUUUACUGAGUGUUUCUUUACAUCAUAACCUAGGUUCAUUUACACUAGGUUUCAUGUUCCUUCACCUAGAUUUCGACUCUAGGUUUACUAAUUCGAUCUAUAUUCAAUGACACUAGGUUCAUUUCAUAUCCAACCUAUGUUUUAAGAACACUAGGUUCAUUUCAUGUCCAACCUAUGUUUAAUAACACUAGGUUCAUGCCACUCGAUCUAUACAACGUCUAACCUAGGUUUAAUAACUUAGGUUUCAUGCCACUCGAUCUAUUCAUUAUCCUAGUUAUCCACGCCUAGAAUUAUAAUUUGCACAUUUUCAUUUACUUGGUUACCGUCCAGAUUUCUACUCAAUUGGAGUUGUCGAUUUAUACCCAAUUCUUAGAGAUUUAACAUGAGGUUCAUAGUUUACAUAUUCUCACUUAUCUUGUUACCAUCGAGGUUUCUAAGCAACUAAAAUUAUCGACAUUCAUAUAGCUUGAACUAUAGUACAUUCACUUUCAUAUAUGUUUAGACAUAGGCAUUAAACUUUCACUUUUAUGUGGCAACAUUUAUGUAGGCUUUAGCUUCUAUGUUCACAAUUCAUAUUCAGCUUACGUGCCCUUGGCAUUUAUAGGUUUACCAUUCAUAUAUCAUGUAUUUGAACAUAUGAAUUUAGCAUAACUAUGCAUCUAGUUUUCACGUUCAUAUAUCGACAAUUAUAUGUAUCUAGCAUGAUCUACAACAUAUUCAUAUGCCUCUAGCAUGUUUACCAUUAUACAUCAUCUAGCAUUAACCAUAAUGUAUUCAUAUGUCAUUAAUCAUAUAUGCCUACGCAUAUGCAAUUAGCAUUAAUGUUCAUAUGUCGACAAUCAUAUUCAUAUAUGCGUCAAAUGAAACCAUAUUUUACUUUGGCAUGGAAGUGACCUAAUCACUUCGGUAAAGCACAACCCACCUUUAUUUGAUACCGGAAUGAGAGAAAUCCGUUUCUCGCACCUUUCCAAGAAUCGCGACCCGCGCUCGCGACAAUUGAUGCCGAAAACGUCUUUUUGGUGAUAUCUUCGCGUAGGCUCGACGGAUUGCCGAACCGACUUCACCAAUGCGUUUGUUUUACCCUCAAUUAGGUUUGUACGCGGUCAAUUUCACGUUAGGACUUCUAUCCUGCAAAAGUGCAUUAUCGGGGUCAGUUUCUAUAGAAACCUGUUUCUAUGAAAUUUCACAAUUGACAUAGAGUAAUUCAACUCUUUACUAGCCUAAGAACCUUAAACAAUUAGUUUAGAGGUCUCACAUCAAUCCCUAAUAAAGGAUUACAAAAAUCUGCCCAAAUAAUUCGAUUCCAUCUUUCUCUCUAUCUCAUUUUCUUUCUUUCAUUUUUCUUCUUAUUCUUUCUUGCUUUCUUUCUUUCUUUCUUUCUUUCUUGCUUUGUUUCUUUCUUUCCUUUCUUUCUUUCUUGCUUUCUUUCUUUCUUUCCUUUCUUUCUCUGCAGGGCAGCUGCUGCUGCUGCUCAGCAGCUCCUGCUGAGCUGCUGCUGCUCCUGCUGAAGCUGCUGCUGAGCUGCUGUUGUUGUUAUUACUGCUGCUGUUGCUGAGCUGAAGCUGCUACUGCUGCUCCUGCUACUGCUGCUGCGCAAGCUGCUGCUGCUGAGCUGAAGCUGCUGCUGCUGCUCCUGCUACUGCUGCUGCACAAGCUGUUGCUGCUGCUGAGCUACUAUUGCUGCUGCUGCUACAACUAGUAGCAGCAGGGAGAGAGAUGAGAGGGAGAGGUUAAACUCUUACCUCUUAUCUUCUUCUUUUUCUUCUUCUUCUUCUUCUUCUUCUUCUUCUCUUUUCUCUUCUUCUCUUUUCUCUUCUUUUCUCCUUCUCUCUCUCUACGUAUGAAGAAUGAGCUGAAGAGAGGAUAAGGAUGGCCCUGGCAGGUUAGUGGAAUUCCACUAAUAUGGUAAUAAUUACCAUAAUGCACCUCGACUAAUCCGUUUAGCAUCUCGGAUCAGAUACCUUUCGCAGGCCCUUCCAAAUAUCUGAUUGAGCUCAAAUUUGACAGGCAUGCUCGGUUUUACUUAACAAGUUCACUGAAAUUUUAACAUUUCAGUUUCGACCCCGUUUGGUCACUGCGAACUGUCCCGAUCUGUAAUCUUUAUCAGAUAACUUUCGGAUGCUAUUUCUCUCUCUACAGGUGGCAGAAUAAUAUGAAACUUCAAAUCUAGCCUCAUAAAACCAUUUCUGACAUCUCUGCCAAUUUUCAUAAUUUUCUGACACUGUGCAUUUUCUGCUAAUUUCUCAGUCCCAUGCUUUACAGAAAAUUCUAAAUCUUCCGUUUUCGCUCCGAUUUCAACACGAGCCAUUCCAGACUUAUACUUUACACCCUUAAGUCCAAUCAAAUGGUAUCUCACACCAUUUUAUGUUAUUUUGCUCACUUUAAUUCUUUUAAUUAAAGUUAGCAUCGGAAAUCCGAAAUUCUCUCUACAUUUCUUUUCGCACCCAAUUUGCGCCGAAAUACUUAUUUAUCUCCAGAAUUCAUUCACACGCAUCACAAAUCACUCGGGGAGGAUGUCCAACUAGCUCAAUCCUCACUUUGAUCUUCUAGAUCAAAGUUGACAUCGCAACUCCAAGUUUCAGUAUAUUACAACUCUAAUCUUAAAUUCAAAUCUUUUAUCAUUAGUUUUUAUAAGAUUUUUAUUUUUAGCCGUUUAUUUUUAGACUACUCGUUUGAUAGGUAAAUGAUGCCGAAAUAUUAUGAAAUUUAGUUUCCAAAUACUUUCAAUAAUGUAGAUCAAGUCUAAUAGAGCUGAUCGUCGAUUUGGAAGCCGCAUUAUUGAAAAUAACUUGGUAGCACGGAGGCCUCCGUACUACCGAUAGUAUACCAGUCUAGCUCUCUCUCUCUCUCUCUCUCUCUCUCUCUCUCUCUCUCUCUCUCUAUAUAUAUAUAUAUAUAGCAGGACUACUGUGCUCUUAGGAGCACGGAGGCCUCCGUGCUCCUGAGCCGUUUUCAGUGAUGGAAUUUCCGAAGCGACGAUCGGCUCCGUUAGACUUGAUCUAACGUAUUUGAAGUUUCUAGAAAAUAAUUUUUUCGAUUUUUCGAUAUCAUUUACCUAAUAAUCGAAAGGAUUCAAAAUCAAUAAUUUUUAACGGCCAAAAAUAAAAAUUCAAUAAAAAGUGGUGAUAUAGCACUAAAAUUUUCUAUCAGAAAUAUUGAUCUUGUUGUAGAUAGUAUAAAGAAUUUUGUAUCAAAAUUUCAUCUAAUUUGAAUACUUCUACACCGUCAAAUUUAAAAACGGCAGAUAUCAAACAUUAAAAAUUUAUUAAUUUUGAAUCCUUUCGAUCACUAGGUAAAUAAUAUAAAAAAAUCGCAAAAACUAUUUUCUAAAACCUUCAAAUACGCUAGAUCAAUUCUAAUGGAGCUGAUCGACGAUUCAAAAAUUCUAUUAUCGAAAACGGCUCAGGAGCAUGGAGGCCUCCAUGCUCCUGAGAGGACAGCAGCCCUACUCAUAUAUAUAUAUACCUAUAAUUAUAUUAUAUAUAGUAUAUAUAUAUAUAUAUAUAUAUAUAUAUAAUAUAUAUAGUAUAUAUAUUCUAUAUAUUAUAUAAGUCGCGCUACUAUACCUUAUAAUACGAUGCACUCACGUACCAUAAAUUGUUUUCGAAUGAUAGGCGUCCAAAUCGCGACGACCACUUCCGUAAAUGUUAUUCUAGAGCAUUUGAAUACUCUAAAAAAAUCAAAUUUCAUAAUUUUUCGACAUCAUUUACCUUACGAUCAAAAGCUCACAAAAUUGACAAUUUUUAACGACCGGUAUAGAAUACUUGCUAGUUUAACGGUGCAAAAGAAUCCGAAUAGGUUGAAUUUUUGAUAAAAAAUUCUAUUUACUACCUAGAUAAAGAUCAAUAACUCCGAUCUUAAAUUGAAGGAUCCGAUCAUCCAUUUUUAAGACAUCGUUCAAUUUCAACAGUUCAUUUUAUGCCCGCUUGAUGGACUUUAUUAUAAUUUCGAAAAAUUACAAAAUUUAUUUUUUAGAAGUUUCAAAUACUCUAGAUCAUAUUUAACGGAGUUAAUCGUCGAUUCGGAAGCUCUAUCAUCGAAAACAACUUAUCAGUACGAAGGGCCCAAUACUCAUAAUAGUAUAGUAGCCCUACUAUAUAUAUAUAUAGGGAAAACUUCAAGAAACCCCCCUGUGGUUUCAUAGUUUCUCACUUUGCCCCCUGUGGUUUAAAAUGUAUCAAAUUGCUCUCCUGUGAUUUUGUUUUUAUCUUUUCGUUAGCUUUUUCGUUAAUAUUUCUUUAAAUUAUAUACAAAAAACUCUAGAUACUCAUCUAGAUUUAUCAAAUAUUCACUUUAGUACCCUUUAAUUUUAACUUUAUCACUGAUUUAAGAAAAAAAUAAUGAAAUUGAUAAGAAAAAAAAAAAAAAAGAAACCACAGGGGGGCAAAUUGAUACAUUUUAAACCACAGGGGGACAAAGUGAGAAACUACGAAACCACAUGGAGGGUUUUUGAAGUUUUCCUAUAUAUAUAUAUAUAUAUAUAUAUAUCGCUAGGGCUACUUUACUCUUAUGAGUAUUAGCCCAUUUGUACUCAUAAGUUUUUCAUCAUUGGAAGAAGGGAUGUGCGGUUUUGGAUGACCCUAAGGUUGGCUGGGCGGUUGGUUGGUUGAAUAUUAUAAUCUAGCAGGUAGAAAUAGUAAAAAGGAUAAAUCUAACGGACUAAAACUUAUGAAUACAAAAGGAUCUUUACUUAUAAGAGUAUAGUAGCUGAACUCUCUCUCUCUCUAUAUAUAGUGAGAGUGAGAGUUUGGCUACUAUACUCUUAUGAGUACGAUCGCCUUCGUACUCAUAACUCGUUAUCAAUGAUAGAACUUUCGAAUCGACGAUUCAUGCCGUUAAACAUUAUACAGAGUAUUUAAAACUUUUAGUAAUUAAAUUUUAUAAUUUUUUAUCAUAAUUUACCUCACGAUCAAAAGAUCUCAAAAUUAAUAAUUUUUAACGGCCGGUAUGAGAUACUUGCUAUUUUAACAGUGUAAAAAAACCGAAAUCAAUUGAAUUUGUGAUAAAAAAUUCUAUUCACUAUCUAGAUAAAGAUCAAUAACUUCGAUCUUAUAUUGAAGGAUCCGAUCAUUCAUUUCUAAGACGCCGUUUCAUUUUGACCGAAAAAUGAAAUUUAGUUUGCAAAUACUUUCAAUAGUGUAGAUCAAGUCUAAUGGAGCCGAUCGUCGAUUCGGAAGCAGCAUCAUAGAAAACAACUUGGUAGGACGGAGGCGUCCGUGCUACCAAUAGUAUAGCAGCCUAGCUCUCUCUCUCUAUAUAUUUAAAUAUAUGAAAUUACGGAAUGAUAAGAUAUUUAAAAUUUCGUACUACUUCAAUUGAAUGUGGCUUAAAGAUUAGCACUAGAAGGGAAAUGAAAACGAAACGUUCGGUGUUGACGCAAAUAUCAUUAUUUUGUAAUAGAAUCAAGAGAUAGUUGAAAGAAGAAAAACAGCCGAAGAAUAAUUAAUUAAAUUCUCCAAGCUGUAUAUUAGUGCCCAGAACAGAGAUCUUGCCUGAACUUGGACUACCAGGUCGGCUGUGGACCGGAAGCCCAUCUAGCCUUCAUUCCAAAUUAUCAGUAUCCAGUAAAAAUUAUUAAACAAAAAUCAGAUUUUCUUUUUUUGAAGAUGAGAAUUGAAACCCGUAAUUUAAUAAACAUCAGCAUUUUGAAAUCAAAGUUUCCUUUUUUUUUUUGGAAGGUGUGGAUUGAAAAGAAAGACGCAACGAAGCGAUGUUUAUAAGGCGGUCCACCACUGACCUGGUGCACCAGGUGGACGCAACAAAAGCUCAAGCGAGGUACUUUAGCCCCAUAUCGACUGCAGCGAAGAACGGAAGAGGCAAGGAGAGUACAAGAAGAGGCCUCGUCCGUGAUUCAAACUCAUACCUUUCUCGGCCUUUUGGCUAAGAUCAAGUGUAGUAUCUGUUCUUAUCAGUUUAAUAUCUGAUAUGUGGGCCAUGCGCCCACCUCGAUAUUAAAUUAAUUUUUUGUGGGGGAGGGCCCAUCCACGGUAGCUUGCUACCGGGGCCUUCGCGCGUCGCCCUUGCGUUGCACUACUGUUUGGGCCUGGCGCACCCCUACCAAUUCUUAACAGCAAAAUGUUUUUAAUUUAUUACUUGCUUGCUGGGCUUGCGUACAAAGGAAGAAUGGUGAAAAUUAUUCUUCAAUUUUUUUUUUUUGUAUAAAUCUGGAAAGGCCCAUUUUUGGAAUCUGAAUAGAAAAAUUAUUUAUACACAAGAUCAAAACUAUAGCGAUAAUUCAUUUUCCUCUUAACUUCCUCUCGAUAAUGUGUGAAACAGUUGGCAAUGACAUAAUAAAAUAGUAAGAAAUAAAAAUACAGUCAGAGGCUACAAUAUUCAGAGAAUCGGAUUUAUAUGCAAACCUCCUAUGGUUGUCAAGUUACGGGCUAAGAGGUAUAGGUAGGAACGCAAAUGGGGCGGGUCCGGAGGCUGGAGUCCCCUCUCGCGUCUCUCAUGUCCCUUCCCAAGUAUCUCCCACCCCGAAUAUGUGAUGGGUUAAGAAAUAUAUCCCAUAAUUCGUUCCGCCUCAUAAUCCAUUUUCUAUCGGCGCUCCGAAUCUUCUCUGCCAAUUAAUAUUUUUUUAAAAAAAUUAUAAUAUUAUUAAUAUUUUAUAAAAUAUAAAUUAAUAUUUUUUUAAUAAUAAUUAUAAUAUUACUAAGUUAUGUAUAUAAUAUUAAUAAUAUCAAUUAUAAAAAGCAAAAUUCAAGUUUUAGACACAUGAGAAAUGAGAGCACCAACUUAUUUGUAUUUUGGACUUUUUUUGUAAAUAUAUUAUUUUUUAGGAAUAUUUUUAAAAUAUAAAUAAUUUUUGGAGUGGAUUCCGAGUGAAUCAUGGCACUGCAGAUUCGGGCCGGGGCAAAUUUUUUUUCGUUUCCUACCCCAAAUCUGUUUCGGACCAUAAAAAUUACUCCGUUUUCUGUCCCGAAUCCGUUUAUUUAUUUCUGUUUAUUGCCCCAUUCGGGAAGGAUCGGGACGGACGCUCUACCAACCAGGAUCUGUUUGCAUUGCCAAUAGAGCGGAGAGCUGGUAGUCACACUUAGGAAAACCAUAAUGCAACCAGACAACCUUAAAUGAACCCAGGACACUGUUGGUUCAAUACGGUAAUAUAAUAUUGGAUUAUAGUAUAUGUAGGAUUACUAGAGUUGGUUCGUUUUAAAAUUCGGUAAUCAAGACAAUAAAGUGUAUUUUAUUCCAAAAUUAUCAUUUAUGAUCAUAUUUAAUAUUAUUUUUUAAUAAACUUAAAUUAAUAUAAUUUGUACUUGAUUAAUUUUAUUAAUAAGCAAAUAUAAGUAGAGGUGGAACUGGGCCCGGGCCUAAACAAGGCCCGGCCCGAUGGGCCAUGUUUGGGCCGGACUUUGGGUAUUAAAAAUAUAACUUGUGGUUCGGGCCGGGUUUAAAAAUUUUGGCCCGAAAAAAUUUAGGCCUAUUUGGGCAUGUCCAAGCCCGGCCCGAGCCCGACCCAAAAGCCCAAUAUAUUAAUUAUCCAAAUAAAAUAUUUAAUUAUAUANGUUCGGGCCGGUCUUACAAAUUUUGGCCCGAAAAAAUUUUGGGCUUAUUUGGGCAUGUCCAAGCCCGGCCCGAGCCAGACCCAUAAGCCCGAUAUAUUAAUUAUCAAAAUAAAAUAUUUAUAUAUAUAUAUAUAUUAUUUAUCUAUUAAAAGAAAUAAAUGGUAUAGUAUAUCAUAUAUAGUAUAUAUUGUUAUUAAUGAUAUGUACUUAUAUAUAUGAGGAUAUAUUAUAUAUCAACAAAAUAUUUAGUUUUAUAUUAGGAUAUAUUUGUUAUUAGAUAUUAAUUUCUUUGAUGUGAUAAAACUAAAAAUAGGUAUUUUAUUUUAAUUUUAUACAAAUAAAAGUAUUUAUGUAUUAUAUGAUACAUGCAUAAAAUGGGCCUCCACAAAGCCCGCUGGGUAUUGGGCAUUGGGCUUGGGCUUAGGCCGGGCCAUCAUUUUCAAAAAAAUUAGGUAAACGCCCGACCCAAAGCCCAACAUUUUUAUUUGGGCCGGGUUUGGGCAUAGUAUUACCCUACCCAAAUCCGGCCCUGUUCCACCCCUAAAUAUAAGACAUAAAUAAAAAAACCGCACAUGAAAACAAUUUAUAAAGCCAAAUUGGUUUUAACCCAUAGAAGAAUAAAUUAAAAAAUAUCAUAUUACAUAAUAAUAUGAUCAUACAAGAACAAGUACAUUUUAGUUUAAAAAACUAAAAUUUUAUUUAUAAGCAAUAUCAUUAACCAAAUAUCUUAAGAAAAUCUCGCUCCAGCCCAGCUCAUUAAAAGACCCAUUUUUCUUAAAAGAUCCACCCCAUGUACAAAAGCCCACCAUUUCAAUCUGAUUCCUUUUAUUGUUUCUUGUCUCGGGUAGUGCCGAAUUCCCAUUUUUAUCAACUUUUUGACCCCAAUUCCUCAAACUAGGAUGAGGGCCUUCUUUAUAUAUAUAUANAGAUAUCCAAAUCAAUUGAAUUUUUAUUAGAAAAUUCUUUAAACUAUUGAAAACAAGAUCUAUACUCUUGAUCUUGAUUACAAGACUCCUAUCAUCAUUUUUUAAAAAAUAUUCAUUUUUAGCCGUUCAUUUUUAUGUCCACUCAAUGGAUAAGAGAACAAUAUCGAAAAUAUAUGAAAUUUGAUUUCUAAAUACUUCAAAUGGUAUAGAUCAUGUUCAACGAUGCCGAUCGUCGAUUUGGAGGCUCCAUUAUCGAAAAUAAAUGGGUGGCAAAAGUGCCAGUUUGCUAUCGAUAGUAUUCUAGCUCAACUCUAUAUAUAUAUAUAUAUAUAUUGAGAGAUUAGGUAGCACGCUACCCGCUUCGUUUAUUUUAUUUAGAAAUAAACUUAGCUAGAAAUAUGAAUCAACUAGGAUUUGAACUUGGAACCUCCAGUACCAACCACCAAGCUCUUUGCCACUUGCUCUAGGGACGGUCAGUAUGAGGGCCUUCUUUAUAGAUCUUUGGAUUUGGCGAUUUGGGCAAAAUUUGUUGUUUUUGUGUUCUCUUGGGUAUUUUUACAAACACCUAAUGUGCAAGGAUCUGCUGUUUUGAUGGAAUUUAAUAAUUUAGGGGUGUAAUGUGAGUCGUGCUGUGCCCCGUGCGGAUUCAGCCUAGGGUUGGCUCGGUUACAAAUCCUGGCCAACCCGUGCCAGCCCGCUUUCUCAGAGAAGAAGGCCUAGCCCGGCCGCUUGGACUGCCCGGCACGUGCUAUGCCGGGCCAAGCCGGGCUUCGUGCUAGCCCAGUAAAAAGUUUUUUUUUUAAUUUCUUCCCAACCGUCUUUUGUUAAAUUUUUUUUUAAUUUUUUUUUAGUAAAAAGAGAUAACUAAUUUUUAAAUUAUACCUUCUCGAUUUUUUUUUAUUUACACAAUUAUACCCAAAUUUUUUUUAAACUCUUGUAAUAAUUUUAUAAAUUUUAAAAAAAGCUAAAAUACUAACCAUAAAUUUAACAUUUUUAAUAUCAUUAAUUUUUAAUAUUAUAUAAAAUUUAAAACAUAGAGAUCAAUAAUUUUAACUUUUCAAAUAUAUUAGAUGUUUUAAUAUAAAUUUUUUAAAUUAGGUUUCGUUUAGGAUUGUGGGAAAAUUGUACUACAUGCGGUGAGAAAGUACGAUGAAAAAAUAUUCUAUUUGUUUCCGUGCGUAAUAUUGCAUUCUGCAUAUGGCAAUGAGUCGGUUAUGAUAUAUUUUUUGCGGCCCCACUAGAGAACGCAGAAGCAUAUUCUUAAAUGCUUUAUCCCGACUCAAUUUUAUCUAAUAAUAUUAUAUGGACUUUAAUACAAAACUAAGCCUUACAUUUCUGUGAUCCAAUAACCAACUUUAAUAUAAAAUUUUUAAUAUAAGAUUAAAUAUUUUGUUGAGAUUGAAACUUUUGUUAAAAAAAAAGUUGUUGAAAAGAUUAAAAAAAUUUGCAAAGCUAACUUGAGGAAAAAAAAUUUUAGAUUGAAAGUUUGAGAGUAGGAAGAAUUAGUGUUUGGGGAAGAAAUGAACGAAGAGUUGUUUGUUGAAAUGAAUUUGAAAAUUUGUAAAAGCAUUUAUAGAUGUAAAAAAAUUUUAAAUUUUUUUUAAAAAAUAGAAAAUAUUUUUGACCAAAAUGUCCUAUCUAACGGUCAAAAUUUUGAAUGCUAGUAAAGGCAUUAUGGUCAUUUUCAGCAAAAAGAUGUCUUUUUUAAUAUUUUUAUCUUUUUUUCAAAAAAAAAUAAUUUUCAUAUAUAUAUAUAUAUAGGCAGGACUGCUGUGCUCUCAGGAGCCGUUUUCGAUGAUGGAAUGUCCAAAUCGACGAUCAGCUCUGUUAGACUUGAUCUAACGUAUUUGAAGAUUCUAGAAAAUAAUUUUUUGCGAUUUUUCGAUAUCAUUUACUUAGCAAUCGAAAGGAUUCAAAAUCAAUAAUUUUUAACGGCUGAAAAUAAAAAUCCUAUAAAACGUGGUGAUAUAGCACUAAAAUUUUCGAUCAGAAAUAUUGAUCUUGUUAUAGAUAGUAUAAAGAAUUUUGUAUCAAAAUUUCAUCUGAUUUGAAUACUUUUACACCGUUAAACUUGAAAACGGUAGAUAUCAACCAUUAAAAAUUAUUGAUUUUGAAUCCUUUCGAUCACUAGGUAAAUGAUAUCAAAAAAUCGCAAAAAUUAUUUUCUAGAAUCUUCAAAUACGCUAGAUCAAGUCUAACGGAGCCGAUCGUCGAUUUGGAAAUUCCAUCAUCGAAAACGGCUCAGGAGCACAGCAGCCCUGCUAUAUAUAUAUAUAUAUAUAUAUAUAUAUAUAUAUAUAUAUAUAUAUAGAGAGAGAGAGAGAGAGAGAGAGAGAGAGAGAGAGAGGGAGAGAGAGAGUUGAGCCGGAAUGUUACCAAUAGCAAACUGGUUUUAUUGCCAUCCAUUUGUUUUCCAUAAUAGAGCCUCUAAAUCGAUGAUCGGCACCGUUGAACAUAAUCUAUACCACUUGAAGUAUUUAGAAAUUAAAUUUCAUAUUUUUCUGAUAUUAUUUUUUGUCCAUCAAGUGAACACAAAAAUGAAUGGCUGAAAUAAAUAUCUUUUAAAAAGUGAUGAUAGGAGUCUUCUAAUCAAGAUCAAGAAUAUAAAUCUUGUUCUAAAUAGUUUAAACAAUUUUCUAACCAAAAUUCAAUUAAUUUGGAUAUCUUUAUACCGUUAAAUGAGAAAACAUCUUAGAUCGACAACUAAAAUUAUAAAUUUUGAGACCUUUUAAUAAUCUGACCAAUAAUGUCGAAAAAAUUAGAAAUUUGGUUUCUAGAUUUUUUAAGUGGUAUAGACCAUAUUCAAUGGUACCGGUCGUCAAUUUGAAGGCUUCAUCAUCAAAAUAAAUAGAUAGCAACGGAACUCAUUUGUUACUAAUAGCAUUCAAGCUCAACUCUCUAUCUCUUUCUCUAUAUAUAUAUACUAGUUGUAAUGCACGUGCGAUGCACGUCAUAUUUAAUUAAAUUAAGUUUAUAUUUAUAUUUUAAAUUUAAAUAAUUAUUGGUGGUAUAUAUCUAUUUAUCAAUUAAAUUUUUUUUAACUUUAAUUUUUUUAAUGUGUAUCCAAAUUUAUAUAUAUGAAAAUUGGAUUUUUGAAAAUCUGAUUACUGUUAUUCAAAUUACUGUUAUUCAGUAAAAAUCAGUAUAUGAAAAUCGGAUUUUUUUUUUUUUUUCGAUGGUCAGGAUUGAAAACCGUAAUUCAGUAAGUAUCAUUGUUUUGAAACCAGGUUUUCUUUUUUUCUUUUUAAUAGAAGUGGAGAUUUAAAAAAGAAGGUACAAUGAAGUAGAUAUGGUUAAUAGGAGGGUGGUCCACUUUGACCUGGUGCACCAGGUCAAAGUAUGAAUUCAAGCCAGGUAUUUUAGUCCCAUAUCGACUGCAGCGAAGAACGGAAGAGGCAAGGAGAGUACAAGAGGAGGCCUCGGUGCGUGAUUUAAACUCAUACCUUUCUCGGCCUUUUGGCUAAGAUCAAGUGUAGUAUCUGUUCUUAUCAGUUUAAUAUCUGAUACGUGAGCCAUGUGCUCACCUCGAUAUUAAAUUAAUUUUUUGUGUGGGAGGGCCCAUCCACGGUAGCUUGCUACCGGGGCCCUCGCGCGUCGCCCUUGCGUUGCACUACUGCUCGGGCCUGGCGCACCCCUACCAAGUCUAAACGCUCAAAUAUUUUUAGUUCAUUCACUAAGCUUAAACAUUAUUUUUCAAAUAGUUUUUUUUGUAUAAAAAACAUAAUUUCUGUAGUUUUUUGUCUUUGCCUUUUUAUUAAUCUGAAUAGAACAACUACUUAGUUUUUCGUGAAUUUUUUUAAAACCAAACACUCUCUGAAAGCUUUUUUGAGUUUUGAGAUCUUUGCUAAGGAAUUGUUUGAUUUCUAAAAAAAUAUAUAAAAAAAAUUUAUUUAAAAAUAAUAUUUUUUUUAGAUUUCACUGUUCGGUUUCAAGAAAAACUUUCUUUUUUGAAAAUUUUUUAUAUUUCAUGUAAAAUUAGUAUUUUUAUUUUUCAAAAGAAAAUCAGAAAAUCAAAAAAAUUAUUUUCAUAAAGUUUAAUUUCUUACCACCAAGCGAGCAAAAAAUAAAACAAAUUUUUUUUUUCAAAAUUUUUCUUUAAUAUUUACACCGGCCCAUUUAAAUCUAGCCAUUCAUUUUUUAAGGUUAUGAUUGACUUUACAUAGUAAUAACCUGCUUAAUUGGUUACCAAUCAAAGAUCAAUCGUAAGAAUAAUGUUAGAAAAUACAUACUAAUCAAUUAUCAAGUUUGAUAAAAUCUAACCAAUCUUUCUUUCCUUAUUUAAUAUUGUUACUUAAUUACCAAAUUAAAUAGUGGCUAAUUUGAUAAGUAAUGCAUGUUCAUAAAUUUGAAUUCAAAAUUAACUUAGGUUUUAACUUUAUUUUUAUAAUUGUAUAAAUUAAUUC